RNAcentral lists this long non-coding RNA (67265 nucleotides) under Ananas comosus (pineapple). Its description in RNAcentral is "long non-coding RNA (ACOM_LNC019433)". The record is from RNAcentral. Lineage: Eukaryota; Viridiplantae; Streptophyta; Magnoliopsida; Poales; Bromeliaceae.
UUUUUUUUUUUUUUUUUUUUUUCAACCUGGCCCACGUGACGUACAGACCGCGCCACAAAUGACAAAAUUCUCUGUGUCCCUCGGGCAGAGUCUCCUUUGUAUUUCACGGCGUACCAACGGAUACAAACAGGAUCACAACACACACCAUUUACCAAUCAACAACAAGGCAUGAUAUGAUUUCCAUACAGCUAACAAUCCUAGAAAUGAUGCAUGCCUCUAAGCACCUCCUUAGGCGCUGCGAUAUGCAAUGCACAAUACAACAAACAUUCCUAUUUAAAAGUGCUCACCCACACGGAAGCUUUUGUUUUGAAAACCGACUACCGCGAGGGUAGAAAACCACGAUGCGUAAAAUCCAUAAAACAAAUCCACAAUCCCAACAAUCCACAAAUUCAACCAGCUCACAACAUUCAAACAUCAAGUAUGAUCAUCUAACUGAACCAUAUAAACUAAUUGGCUAUAACAACAGAAUAGGUAAGUGAUAAAAACUAAAUCGAUACCCGGGUCGGAAGCUCUAUCGACCGCUAACGAACUACCUCACGUCUCGUCCCAAAAACUCAUCACCUGCAAUACCUGAAAAAUGGUGGGGGAGGUGAGAACAUGUUAAACAUGUCUCCCCUCCCAGUGGUACGCGCAAGCCGAUGAAGCGAUGAGUACUCACCGCAUCAAGGAAGAGCUAAACAACAGUACGGGUCAGUAGAAAUACAGUAGCAAUAAUAAUAAAAUGAAAGAGACAUAUAUAUGAAAGAAAUACAACUACCGCCACUGUAUAUGACAACUGAAUUGUAUACAUGUAACAAAGACUAUAGUAGCAGACGAUAUAUAUGAAAGAAUGAAGGUAUACAAACAACAAAACGCGUACUAUAGUUAUAUGCGUCAACACGGACAAGAAGUCAAAUCCCAAUCUGGUACCUGCAAUUGGUACCGCAGAACACUCAAGCGCUGCCUGUGAUAACCUGCACCGACCUGAUUCACUGCCGCCCAUAGGAACACCAUCCGGAUAAGUUACACCUCCGAUCGUGGCCAAACGCGAUCCGGUGUCGUGAAUACCCCCAAGUGCUGUGACUAAGUCAUCGCUGGUUAUGCUCAAUACAAAAACCGGCUGAAACCGGUGCCUAGGCCGAAGCGAGAAACAAGGGGCGUACAAGCCGACCUCGAUCAACUAGAUCAAACACAUACGAGAAAGAGUCAAUGUGUUGCCUGGACCCAAGUCCACAGAGUCCAACUGACCAACAAGGUUCGAUACGAAGUACGAGAACCGACCAACCAUGUCGCAGAUACGGAAUGCAACAACCAACCAACUAGAUCACAGAUGCUGAAUGCAACAACAGACCAACUAGUCAACAGAUACGGAAUGCAACAACCAACCAACUAGAAUCAACAGAUGCUGGAAUGCAACAACAGACCAACUAGGUCAACAGAUACGGAAUGCAACAACCAACCAACUAAGAUCAACAGAUGCUGAAUGCAACAACAGACCAACUAGGCACAGAAUCGGAGUGCAACAACCAACCAACUAGUCAACAGAUACAGGCAAUGUAGAUAGAACUACUCUACUCUCUACUAAGGAUACUAAGCAGCAAACAACGAGUAGAGUAUAAGAACGAAUAAACAAGGGUGCAAGGACUAAUAUACUAUGCGAUAGUAACAACAGAAGGGUAAGGGGUAAGAAACCGUCACCAAGCGUGCACCACUGUACCGACGUCGGAUCGAAGUACCCUGUACGGAUGUCGCGUCUGUCUCUGACUGCAAAAGAUAUGUCGACAGGACCUUAGAGGGUCCACCGGGUUAGUAUCUAACCCACAACUAAAUAAUCACAGAAUCCACAACCCAACAAACGAUCCACGAAGAUCGAGUUUCCCAAACCGAUUACCGAACUCGCCGGAAGUCCGAAAACCACACCGGGACUCCGUCGGACCACUAAGUGUCCGAACUCACCGACUCACACCAGAGUCACCGCUGCCCACAAAACAUUCCAAUUGGAUGCCUUGGCAGCGAACACAAGGUAGCACAACCAUAGAUCAUCGCCGGAUAUCGUACGAAUCCGGGUUCCCCGAAGUGUCUAUUUCGACACCGGAACCCUCCGUCGCUCACCUAUCAUCAUCGAGCUCACAAAUGAUGAUUGUGACCAGCCAACAAGCUCAGCGCAAAACACGAAGCAACCAAACACGUCGAAAGAAUCCGAACCGAAACCGCGUUUCUUUCGGCGAAUUUCGCCGAAAAAACGCGCCGAAAUCGACCUACCGAUUUCCGCAAAGCUAACGGACCAAUGGACAAUUCAGUCACACAAGUUUACAAACUCCCACACACUGCCCACAGUAGCCACCAGAAAGCACAAUUGCAUAAAAGACCUCCUAAUUACAUAAAAUAUCAUCAUUUUAUGUAAUUGAGCGAUCAAGGGACGCUCGUUCACCGCAAACCGAGGACUUUCGAAGUCCGCAGAGACACGUAACUGACAGGUCCGACGUACCGGAGUCCGUGCUCAUGAUCCGGAGCACAGCGGCUCGCUGUGGGAAGCGCGGAGCAACCCGAAGGUUCAGAGAACAGCGCAAGUACAGGAAGAUCGCACCGAAUAGAACAACCGGACACUUCUGAUCCAAAGUGAGGUGAGAACUGGUGAUCAGCACUGACCAACGAUCACGCGUGCUAACCUCGGAGGCCAUCAGGACAGCCUCGGAUCGCCGAUAAGCGUGCGCAAACGCCAAAACAGCAUGCCAAAAGGCUGAAAGGCGGCGACAUCCGCCAAAACAGCGGAAGGGGCCUCCCGAUAGAAACAAAGUGAGCAACGAUGAUCGGCAACUUGUCAGGAUCAUCGUGCUCCUUCCGUAGAGAUCGGGAAGCUCGGAAAGCCCCAGAACAAGAAACCCCCACUCAAUAAGCUCCAUUUUCGGGCUUGCCGGAGCAACCUUGCUCCGGCUGCCUCCGGCGCAGUCGGCGGCGCGCGCGGGGCCUGAGUCGGGUGAGGGGAGGUGAGGACACCGUGCUCACCUCAGCGCGCGCUGGAAGCGGCGGCGGCGGCGGCGGAAGCAAACGAGCCCGCACGAAGUCGGGCUCGGGUUCCAGGAGUUGCUGCGGCCACGCGCGCCGGGAGCUCCGGGACGGCGGAGGCGGCUGGCAGGAAGUCGGGGAGUUACUACGGGUGGCCCAAUGGUGGCGGGCGCGCUGGGAAAGAGGCCGCACACGAGAUCGGCCUGGGCUCGGGCUGGGGUGGCCGCGGCUGGCCGAGGCGCGGAGGCGGCGCGCCGGGCGGCCGACGACGGCGAAGGGCCCCGGCAACGGGGGGAGGACGACGGAGGGUUACCAGACGGCUGGCGGCGCACAGUGGUGCUGCGGCAACCGCGGCUGGCCAGGCUCGGCCUGGGCUGCUGAGCGGCAUGGAGCGGCUGCGGCGGCACAGGCGACGGGCGGCGGUCGGCGGGAAAUUUGCCGGAGCAGCGGUGAAGUCCAGGGGGAGGGUCUGCAGGAGGCGCAGCCCCGGGCCUUCACACAACCCGGAGAGAAGAGGGAGAGAGAAGAGAUGGAGAAAGAGAGAACUGGUGCUCGCGGACGGCGCCGGGGCUCAGCGCGGCGGCGGCCGGGGUGGUGCAGCAAGGGCAGGGGAAGGGUGAGAGUGGCUGGGGCGACUAGGGUAGCUAGGGUUAGGGUUGAGUGGCUCCAAACCCUAAAGAGACUAUAUAUACAAGGCGCAAUUGCAAAUAGGUCCACCAAACACCCGGAAUUUCAAUCGAGCCUUCACCGAACGCCUAAAACGCGUGAACGACCCUCCACGUGCGAUCUCAAACAACGCAAAACGUACAUAAAAAUUAUCGCGAUUUUCGCGAAAAUACCAUUUUGCCACUACGUCCUCUCCUCGAUCAACGCGCGAAUCUCCGCAGAUCCGUCCGUCUAGAUUUGCGAACGCGAUUACACCGGUGCGAUCAGCACUCUCGGAGACAACAAAGCUGUCUAUUUCGUUUCGUCUUGAUCGACCACCGGAUUCACGACAAAAUCUAACCUCUUCGUAUAGAAGAAACACACACAAAAAUACAUAUAAAACAUGUAUUUUUAGAUUUUCUGCGAAAUCCGUGCGUCAAAACCAAAUCCGUCAACGCCAAUUAGUCCAGAACAGCUGACCCGGUGAAACGAGCUAUUGGACUGCUAUGAACAGAGUCCGGUAAACCCAGAAGCCAACUUCUCACCGUGGCUUCUCCUGGAAAAUAUCGAGUUAUUUAUUUUCACUUUAAGUGAAAACUAAUAAUCGCGUAACUUCUCCGUUUUAGCUCAGUUUCUCCUGAAACUUGACGAGUGCUUAUGUAAUUAAAUUACACACAUAAACAUCAUCAACAGAGAGUUUACCUACACUGCAAAAAUCUCAGUCCUUACAUCAUCCCCCCCUUAAAGGAAGUUUCGUCCUCGAAACUUGCUCACAGGCAGGGGUGAUCCUACGCCAGAGAAUCAACACUCACCUCGGAGAACCGAACUACAACCCGACAAAGUCAGAACUUAACCAUCGGAACUCAUCGAUGGCACCCAACUCUCUUAGGUCCAAGACCUAACCAUUUGCCUAGACCAAAAAGGUUUAAGGCUGCCAGUACCAGUUGAGCCAACAAUUUAUACAACCCAAGCAUAUCCGUCACCAGGUGAACAGAGUUGCCACUCGCAACAAGCGAUCGAAACCACCAGUGAUGCUCCACAUCUGUCUCUACGAGACCCUAUCGCUGCCGUCUCCAAGGGACCCUAGCGAUCGACGUCCUGAGCAACACUAGAUGCCCGUCUCAUCGAGACUCCCACAAGUGACCGAAUAGCAACCCAAUCCAUUCCAAGGUAUCCACGAUAGACCAAAACAUAUACCUUGUACAACAACGCAAGCUGCGACAUCUGAGCCAACCACCAGGCUCACUAGAUGAUCAAAGAAGACUGACACCUCUCACGCAAGAGAAAAGAAAUACCGACCCAAUCCAGAUAUUCCCCAAAAAGGUGGGGCAUCUUAUCCUAACUUUCGACAUUACGUUGUCUGCAGCCAACGUAAUUAUCGAAUGAAAGGUAAGGUACCCACUGAUCCAUCACCAACAACAAGUUGGGGACAAGACACAAGAACCAAUUCGACCAAUAACCGUACAAUGCACUAGAAUGCACGAACUGAGAUCCGACAUCACAACUAUACAAAAGCAAGACUCAACACACACCACACUGACAAGAAACCCACAAAGGUCGAAACAUCUUCCCAGGCAAUACCACCAGCAAAAUCAUCCGACAUAACUCAACAGAAUACACCCUGUGCUUGCGGAAUGACCAGCAAAAACUUCCAUGUCCCGUGUUGGAGGUGGGGCGAUAACAAUAGCCAUAGCAGUCUGAUGACACCUCACUGCUCAGAGCUAGUCCGGUCACUAUCCCCACUCCUAACACCAAAACAAGCACAAGCCACAACCUGUAACAAAAGAACACGAGGUAAUAACACAAAUCAACCCUUGAACCUACCAGCUCGAUAACCCCGAGACUAAAUCUCGUAUACCCCGCGCUCGUACGUGCCUACGAUUUUAUGGUCUUCCUAUGGUCAACCUAACCAAUGGUUCAGUUAGAAAACUUGUAAAUGCAGUUGUAGUUGUUUCACGCUCUGAUACCAUCUUAAUCUGUCACGCCCCGGGGCCGAUUUUAAAAGCUUUUUAAAAACAGAGUUGCGGAAAACGUGCCAUUAUUAUUUUUUUUUUUUUUUCAACCUGGCCCACGUGACGUACAGACCCGCCACAAAUACAAAAUUCCUCUGUCCACUCGGGCAGAGUCUCCUUUGUAUUUGCACGGCGUACCAACGGAUACAACAGGAUCACAACCACAACCUACAUUUACCAAUCAACAACCAAGGCAUGAUAUGCAUUUCCAUACAGCUAACAAUCCUUAGAAUGAUGCAUGCCUCUAAGCACUCCUUAGGCGCUGGAUGAUGCAAUGCACAAUACAACAAACAUCCUAUUUAAAAGUGCUCCCCACACGGAAGCUUUUGUUUUUAAACUCUAAUUCAUUCAUUCAUAAAAACCAUUCGAAAACCUUUUUAAAACUGUUUCCCACACGGAAACUCUAUUUUGAAAACCGACUACCUCGAGGGGUAGAAAACCACGAUGCAUAACUACAAGAAAACCAAAUCUCCACAGAACCAAAACCACAGAUCGAAAACUCCAAUCUCAUGUAUAAAAGAAACCAGCACCACAGUUCACAUACAUUCAAGCAUACAUAAGAUCAGCUAACUGAACCAUAUAAACUAUCUAAACUAUAUCAACAGGACAGUAAGGGUAAAAACUAAACCGAAUAACCUGAGUCGGAAGCUCUAGCGACCACUACGAACGUGUCUCGCGUCUCGUCUCAACUCUCACUGCCGGCGAUACCUGAAAAAUGGUGGGGGAGGUGAGAACAUGUAAACAUGUCUCCCCUCCCAGUGGGUACCGCAAGCCGAUGAAGGCGAGGAGUACUCACCGGAUCAGGAAGAGCUAAACAACAGUACGGGUCAGUAGAAAUACAGUAGCAAUAAUAAUAAAUGAAAGAGACAUAUAUAUGAAAGAAGUACAACUACCGCUACUGUAAUGAACAACUGAAUGUAUACAUGUAACAAGACUAUAGUAGCAAGACGAUAUAAUGAAAGAACUGAAGGUAUACAAACAACAACCGCUACUAUAGUUAUAUGCGUCAACCGGACAAGAAGUCCAAAUAUACCCAAUCUGGUACCUGCUAUAUUGGUCCGCAGACCUCAAGCGCUGCCUGUCACUAACCUGCACCGACCUGAUUCACCCGCCCCAUAGGACGACCCAUCCGGAUAAGUACACCUCCGAUCGGUGGCCAAACCGAUCCGGUGUCGUGAAUACCCCCAAGUGCUGUGACUAAGUCAUGCUGGUAUGCUCAAUACAAAAACCGGCUGAAACCGGUGCCUAGGCCGAAGCCAGAAACAAGGGCGUACAACGCCGAACCUCGAUCAACUAGAUCAAAACACAUGAACAUUGGAUGAAACUUGACGAGUGCUUAUGUAAUUAAAUUACACACAUAAACAUCAUCAACAGAGAGUUUAGCUACACUGCAAAAAUCUCAGUCCUUACAUUUUAAUUCAAAAUUGAGGUGAUAAAUUGGAACUACAAAUAUCCCAAAAACUCUUGUUGGAAAUGUAUGAAGAUCCUUUCACCUACCUGCCUUUAGAAAUGCAUGUCCACAUGAACUUCUUUUUUCUUUUUUUUUUUUGAGUUGAGAUUUUUUUAAAAAUUUUUGAAAUCAGUUGACAGUAGUAAAAAAAAAAGGAACUUUAUCAAGCCGAUUGAUGAUUUUAUUAACUUUAAAAAUGUUAAUUGUUUAUUAAUAUAACUUACGGGAUGAAUUAAUCUAUUUAAAGUCUUUGACCUAACUAAAUAAUCAUUAAAAAAUAAAUAAAUAAAGAGAAAUGUUAGAAGUUGAUUACCAAUCCAAACAAAAAAGUUUGAGAGAUCGAUUUGGGAAUGAUCUAUAGUUGAGGGGUCUCCAUACUUUUUUUUUUCGGAAAAUUCCUUUUUUUUUUUUAAGGGCUGACUAUUCUAUGAGAAAUGCUUUAUUACAACCUAAUCCUACAAAUUUUGUCAUUCGAAGAUCAACUUGCUUCUACAGAUCUUGUGAUUUUUUUGUUUUCUUAUUACUAGAAAUUUUUUAAAAGAUUGGAUGAACUCUAACGCCAUUGACGUGGAUUAUAAAGAUUACAAUUAGUCUUAGUUGUAGACUUAGGGAUGUUGGGCCUAAGAUUUCCAAAAGUGAUUAGGGCCAAAAUUGAUAUAUAUUUUUUUUUCAAUAGAAUGAUUGGCAAAAUCUGGUUCUUAGAAUUAGAUUUUUUAUUUUAAAGGACCAAAAUAAGAAACAACAAAAAUUUAUUUCUUAAAAUCUGAUUCUGAAUUUAUAAAUUUAUGCACAAAUCAUAGAUUCGAAUAAUUUCAAUUUGCAGUUUAAUAUUUAGUAUUUUAAUUUAAAUUUUAAAUUUUACAUUUACACUGCAAAUUUUAAAUUUUAAAAUUUAAAAUUUAAAAUUUUUUGUUAAAAUUUAAAAUAUAAAUAUUUUAAAUUUUUAUUUUAAACUUUAAAUUUAUAUUUAUAUUUAUAAAGGUAAAUUUUAUUUUUUAAUUUAAAAUUUUAUAUUUGAAUUUUUUAAUUAAAUUUCAGCUUCAAAUAGUCAAUUUAAGAUUUUAAAUUUCCAAUUUUUAAAUUUAAAAUUUGCAGUUUUAAAUUUUAAAUUUUAAAAAUUUGCAAUUUGUUAAAUAAUAUAUUUUGGAUCUUACAUGUAAAAUUUAGAUCUAAAUUUUCAAUUUAAUUUUGAUUUUGCAAAAUUAAUUAAUUGUAUUUAAAAAAAGUAAAAGUGAAAGGAGCAAAAAUCUGAAAAAUUAAAGUAGAGGGCGCUAUUUCGGAACAGCCUGUUCAUUCGUUCAUUUUUUUUUUUUGAUAGAAAGGUUAAUUAAAAAGGUUAAUUGCUUUAUUAAUUGGUCCCUAAUCUUUACAAGCUGUAACGUUUGGUCCCGAAUAUAUUUUUCGUUAUUAGAUUCUUAACUUUUAUAUUUUAUUACGGUUAGGUUCCAAUCAUUCAAAUUUGUGUUACUUGUAUAACUUGUAUGUGUGAUUAACAACAUUGAGCGUUGUAUAUUUGGAUUUGACACAGCUAGGCACAGGCAUAUAGAAAAGAGAUUAGGAAUCAAAGUGCUGUGUGUAAUAGGUUUUGAAUUUAUAAAUUUUUAGCUUAACCCUUUUUGGCGUGUCAUCAAUAGCCUUUGAUUCUGUUAGGCGUCAUUUUCGUGCCCAAAAUAGAUUUAGGAGGUGUGGCAUAUGAGAUAUGCUUUCUUAGGUGCAAACAAAUUAAUACACCGUCUGUCCAAUAGUUGGGGAAGAGGAAGAAAAAGAAAAAGUUAGACCAUUUACAAACCUUAGGGUGAGAGGAAUGCCCUCAUAGCCAGCACAGUAGAAACCGAUACAGAGGCUCAUUACUAAUCGGUAAAAUAAAUUACUUUGCUCAAUAUUUUAGAUUGUUCAUUCUAAAGAUUAUUGAGAAUGAUCAUCCGCUAAUCUCCAUCGUCGUAGAUUUUAAAAAAAAUAAUUCGUAAACAGUUUAAAAAUUUUAUGAUAUUUUAAAUGUCCAUCCUUAGGAUCGAUGUCCGCCCUGUGUGUUGCGCCUCCUCCGGCCGUUGCUCCACUGACAGUGCAGGAGAAGGUGAGAAACUUUUCUUUUUUUAAUAUGAUAAAUAUUUAUUUAUUUAUUAUUUAUUUGCUUAUUGCAGGUUAUAAUAUCUUAUUUUAAGAGAGUUGCUGAUAGUAUUUUAACGUUGAGUGCGUUUUACUUCGGUGCGUCAUAUUUUGCAUUUUCCUUCUCUAUGGAAAGAUUACCGACGCUGCGCCAGCCCAACGACGACGAUUCGAAGCCAUACGAUAUGUUGCACAGCGUUCAAGCUGCUUCUCUGUAUGCCAUUGUUAUGUGUAGUAUUAUUGCCGCAACAGUAAAGUCCAUUCUCUUACUAGAUCACGUACAAUUAAAGUUGGUACGUAGUAGAGGAUGGAGAGUUUUAAUUUGUGGGCAUAUGAUAGUAGCCAUACUAUGCCUCGGUCUUUCCAUCACCCUCGUACUUGUUUCUAUUUGGUUGGUUCUACGGGUUACGAGCACUGUGUAUUUUCCACCUACUUUAGUUUUUAUUGGAUUUCUAACUUUUACUGUCAUUAAUGUUGAACUAGUUGGUGUAAUGAUUUAUGUUAUUACUAGGGGGUCUUAGAUAGUACAUUAUCAUCUGUACUUGUUAUUAAGCAUCUUAAAAGGCUAUGAUAUUUUUUAUUUUGAUUCUCUGUGCCAAGCCAUUUGCAUAAUUAGUCUUAUGAUGCAGUGAGUUCACUUCUUUUUCUUUUUUUUUUUUGUGUGUACUUUUCAAAUUUAUAGCUUCGACACUGGAGUAAAUUUUAUAUUUCUAGAUAAAUUUAUUUUUGUAAAAAAAAUAAAAUAAAAAAUGCUAUAUUUCUCUUAAAAAAAUUCUCAUAGUAUAGUCAUCCAAUCUUAAAAAAUUGUAGGAUUAGGUUGUAAUAAAGUUAAUAAAAUCAUCAAUCAGCUUGAUUGAUAAAGUUCCUUUUUUUUUUUUACUACUGUCAACUGAUUUCAAAAAUAAAAAAAAAAUCCAAAUCCAAAAAAAAAAAAAAAAAUUAAAGUCCAUGUUGACAUUUCUAAAAGGCAUGUCGGUGAAAGGGUCUUCAUACAUUUCCACCAAGAGUUUUUGAGAUAUUUGUAGUUCCAAUUUAUCACAUCAAUUUGAAUUAAAAGAAUAACACCAGUUCAGAAUUAAAAUUCUAAAAUGCUUAAAGGUAUCUAAUAUAACUUAGCAGGUUAUGAAUAAUGCAAGUUAAUGUCAACAUAAAGGGGGAGAUUUCAAAAUGUCCUAUACUUGGGGAAGUCUUAAUUGGUUUUUUUCUGUUUUUGAUUUAAGUGACUUUGUUGAUUUAAAUUUAAAACUUUAUCUAGUUUAUUAAUGUUAAUGAUCCCAUUAAAUUUCAUCAUUUUAACUAGUUUUAAUAAAAAAAUAUAAAGGCCAAUAGCUAAUGUGCCAAUAAAUAUAUUUAUUGUCAUGCUUUUCAUGUUUUUUAGCACUAGCAAGUUUUGCCAAGAAAGGUAUGGAAGGAAGGUUCUGGUGCCCCUAAAAGGGUUUAGGAGGUGGCAUAGAAUAGGGUAUAGAAUAGAGCGGAAGAAUAAAAGGGGACAAAGAAAGGAAGAAGUGGAAAAGGUGGAUUUAAAAAGAAAAGGAUUUUUAAAUUUUUUUUUGGUAAAUCAGUGAAUUUUUUAAAAAAUAUGUUUAGAAUUCUUAUAUAUUAAAAAACUUUAAAUAUAAUUUUAAAAGUUUUAAAUUAGAACUAAAUAUAUUUAUAUUAGGAGAAAUUAUUAAAAACUUGAAAUUUAAUUUAAAGUUGAAUUUAUAAAUUGGACCCAAGAUUAAUUGUAAAAGAUUUUUUUAUAAGUUUAUCAAUAAUAUUUGUUCUCUCUUGGAACAGAUAAUUGACCGUUUUCUCACAUAUAGGGUUGGAACGGAGGGGUAACUUUUUUAAAAAAAAAUAGAAAUAUAAUUUUGAAAGUUUUAAAUUAGAACUAAAUAUAUUUUAUUAUGAGAAAUUAUUAAAAUUUUGAAAUUUAAAUUAAAAUAUAAUUUAUAAAUUGGACCCAAGAUUAAUUGUAAAAAAAAAAAUUUAAGUUUGUCAACAUUUGCCCUUCUCUCACAUCUAGGCCUCCAAAAAAUAUUGAGUUUCCGGCCGAACUUUUACCCAAUUUUUCUGAAAAAUUAAGGUACGGCACGGCCCAAGCCCAAUGCUCAACACCCAUUGAACUUUGUUGAGGCCCACUUUAUGCAUAUGUCAUGUUGCUCAUAUAUAUUAUUAUUGCAUUAAAUUAUAACAAAAUAUCUAUUUCUGUAUGUUCAAGACUAAAGUUUGAUCACAUCAUUAGUUUAUCUUUAAAACAUCGAUCAUCUAUGUCCAACUCAAUCUCGAAGCCUCAUAGUUAUCGAUAAUUAAAAACAAAUCCUCAUGGCUUUGUUUGGUUCGGGUAUAAAUAAAAACUAGUUGUUCCAGGAAUAGGUAUAAGAUGAGUAUAAGGUGGGUAUAAAGUAAUUUUGUAUUUGUUAAGUAUUGAGUUUUAGUCCAGGUAUAAGCAAAAUAGUUUUGUUGGAGUAAGUGGAAAAAGAAAGAUAAUGGGUGGUUAUAAAUAUAAAAUAAUAAUAUUGCCCUCUUUAUUAUAUUUGAAUUAAAUUUUUAAAUUUUAUAUUUAAAAUUUUAAAUUUAAAUAUAUAACUCUUAAAUUUCAAAAAUAUAAAAUUAAAAUUUGAAUUUAAAAAUCUCAAAUUCGAAAAUUUAAAGUUCUACAUUUUUAAUUUCAAAUUUUAAAUUUAAGAUCAAAUCUAAAUUAAAAAAAAUAAAAUAUCAAAUUUUAAAUUUAAAAAAUUUAAAAAUAAUAAUUUAAAAUUUAAAAUUUAAAAUUAUAAAUAUUAAUUUUAAAAUUACAAAUUAUAAAUUUUUAAAAUUUAAAAUUUAAAAUUCAAAAUUUAAUUUAAAUUAAAAAAUUAAAUUGGGGUGGGAGAUAGCAAUCCCACCCCAUAUUUUUUUUUUGUUUGGGUAUAAGGGGUGGGAUAAACCCUUAUCCCACCCUUUAUACCCCAACCAAUAUAUGUUGGGAAUCUGGUACUCGCCCCGGUACCGGAUUUUGAGAAUCCGCAACCCGCUCCGAUACUGAUUCCUGUGGAUCAAGUAUCGAUUGUUGGGAUUCCGCAACGGAAGUAUCGAAUCGACUUUUUACCAUAAACCCGUCUCUUCAGUAGAAGCUGAUAUAAUCACAAAAGAGAAAAAAAUCAAAACAAAAAAUAUGCGGAUAAAAUAAGAUUCAUUAAAUAAGAGAAGAUUAUACCUGACUCCUCUUCUACGUAGAGUAACUACAACUUGAGACCUCUUUUUGAAUCUCUCUUACCUUUCUCUUAUCUCUAUAAACCCACAAAGAAGACAACUCUUUCUUUUUCUCUCUCACGUGCACUAGGUACGUGCAACUCAUGGCCAAGUUUCUCUUUGGUACGGUCCACCAAUGGCUUCAAGACACCUCACUGUACCUUCCUCGGAAUCUCAACUUGGCCGUACUAUACCUUAAACUCUCCACCAAUGAAGAUAUUUAUAAAGUUUACAUCAAAACGUACCUGAAUCCUAAUAUAUUCAGGAUUCCUACUCCAAUAAAUAUUUAAAAUCUAUACUUAGUUUAUCUCCAAUAGAUUUAAAUAUUUAUCCUAAUCUAGUUAGAUUCAUACUCUAAUUAAUAUCUAAAUCUUAAUUUAUCUCCAAUAGAUUUAAAUAUUAAUUCUAAUCCAAUUAGGAUUCAACUACAAAUCUAACCAAAUCCUAACAUUCUCCACCGUGGUUGGAUAGUCUUCAAUCGCUGCAUCGAGCUCACCAUGCAAGCUCCAUCUUGAGCUUGUCUCCACUGGAUAUUGUCACAUCGGCCUCUCUGCCUCGAGCAACUGCACCUCCACGAACUUUUGGAACCAAAACCGUCUUCGCUCUCGUUUUAACUGUGCUCCCGUUCAUAACGUAUAAGUUCUCGCGCUUGUUCGCCUUGCAUAUGACCCAAUCUCGCUUUCGGACUCUCAUAGCUCCAUCUGAAGCUGAAAAAUUACAACCCUUCGAGUCCAACGCCCCUAACAAGAUCAAAUUUCGCUUCAAACUAGGAACAUGUCAUACACAUGUCAGCAUCCUCACGACCCUAUCAUGCAUUCGGAUCUUUACCGUGCCGACUCCCAAAACUUUGCACACCGUCCAGUUCCCCAUCAAAGCUUUUCCUCCCUUGAUUGCUUUAUAGGUGGCAAAAGUCUUUCUCCGGGCAGACAUGAAAGAAACACACCGAAUCGAGCACCCACGCAUCAUCCGAAAUUUUUGUACCUCCGGACGCCGCAUAUAGCACAUCAGAAUCGAUCGUCUCUGACUCUGUCGCCUGCGCCGUCGCUGAUACCAUCUCAUCCUGAUUCACGAUAGUUUUCUCCUUCUGUCGCUUUAACUCUUUCAUAUCAUCCUGAAGUUUUCGACAAUUGCGCUUGAUAUGCCCUUUCCUGUGACAGUAAAAGCACUCCACUUCAGAUAGCGGCUUCUUCUGUCGAUCUCCGAUAGCCGAUAUUGUCGCCUUUUUCUUCGCUCUUACCACCAAAGCAGUAUGCCGGCUCUGCAUGCUGGACUCCGAAGUCAUCAUCCAUAUCUCGUUCGAGAGAAGCGCCGCCGUGACCGCCUCCACGCUUAUGGUAUCCUUGCCGUAAAAUAACGUGGUCAUCGGAAGCUCAUAUGUUGUCGGUAGCGAAGAUAAUAAAAUUAGCCCCUUAUCCUCGUCAUCCAGAUUGACUCCAAUACUGGUCAAUUGGCCACCACCUUGUUGAACUCGUUCAGAUAAUCAUGUAGCUCACCGUUUCCUACAUCCGCAGCGUAAAUAGUCGCUGCAUCAGAUAUAACCUGUUCGUCAGGGAUUUGGUCAUGUACAGAUCUUCCAAUUUAUUCCACAAUUUUGUCGGUGUCGUCUCGCGAGCUACAUUGUAAAGAACCUCAUCUGCUAAUAAUAGAUGAAGUGUACUCAGCGCCUUCCGCUCAAUCUUCAUCCAUACCGCAUUCGUGGCCUCCACCGGCUUUGCCUUCUUCCCGUUCAAUAUCUCGUCCAACUCUUUUUGUAUGAGGAUCGCCCGUACUUUAAUCUGCCAUAAUCCGAAAUUGUUCUUGCCAUCGAACUUCUCGAUUUCGAAUUUUUGUGGCCAUCUCCGUCGAUCUCUUCUGCAGAUCGGUAACCUUAAGCUCUGAUACCAAAUCUUGGGAAUCCGAUACUCGCCCCAGUACUGGAUUUUGAAAAUUCACAAUCCGCUCCGAUACUGACUGCUGUGGAUCCGGUACUAAUUGUUGGGAUUCCGCAACAGAAGCAUCGAAUCGGGUUUUUACUAUAAACCCGUCUCUUCAGCAACAUCUGAUACAAUCACAAAUGAGAGAAAAACCAAAAUAAAAAAUAUGUGGGUAAAAUAGAAUUCAUUAAAUAAGAAAAGAUUACAACUGACUUCUCUUCUGUGUAGAGUAGCUACAACCCGAGCCCUCCCAGUUCCAACUCUACUCACAUUCUUAUACUCUUUCAUCCUAAUAAAAACAUUAAUACAACAUCGCUAUCAAGUGGACGUGUUAUUCAGCAUAAGACUUUGUUCCACUAGAAAAUUGGCUCAAUAGGAGUGCGCUCAAUUAGCUACUGCCUUGUGAAGUAAACGACUCCAAUUUGAGCUUCACUUAGCCCAUUUGCAUUUGGCAUCAGCUAAGUUUACAAAACACAAUAUAAAGAGAUAGCAAUGUCACGAACCGAGUUCUAACAUUACCCAGACUCGCCAACAGAUCCGCCAUAUACACAGGUGGCCAUGUGUACACGAAGCGAAAAGAAGUACUUGUAAACAAUAUAAGAACAACUUCUAGAGUGUAACAGAGCUGCUAAAAUAGAAAUAAGUAGUCAAAUAUACAUACAUGUAAUCCAAGGUGUACAACAAAAAUCCAAAAGUAUAACACUUCACAACUCUCAACAGAUAAAAUAAAAUAUAAUUGUAUGUACAUGACUAAAAACAUCAACUUACACCAAAAUGGUACUUCUCUAGCCGAACAACUGCGGUAAACAGGGAUUUAACUCGCGAUUCCCUUACCUCGAUCAGAAGAAGCAGCAAUAAUCGAUGGUUUUGCAAGAAAAAAUGGCAAUAAUGGGUGUGAUAAUUACUAUAAAAUAGAGUAGUCCUCAGUGGGUAAUGUCACCGACCCCAAUAGCCUACCCACUAAGUCUACAAGGCGAACAAUAAAGCUAGUAGGAAAAAGAAUAGUAAGAUAAGCUAGAAGAAACUCUAUAGCUAAAAUGUCACUACACUAUCACUACCCAUGCCAUGCUUUCUGUAAAAAUAUGCAUCACUAGCUACGAACAGUCACAACUGACCCCAAUCCCAAGGGCCAAUUGGCCAGUCCAGCCUAUGCCCAAGCUACACCACACACUACCCACGAGGGUGGCCAGUCCAAGUAAAAAUGCCCAAACGGGACUGCUGCGAUAUCAAGGCAUGCAAGAAAGCCAGACUCUGGAGCAGCACUCUGGGGGGCGCAACCCCUACCGAGUAUAGGAGCGUGCCUCUGUCGAGCUCAAGCAGGCUAACAUAGGCUGUAAUCACUGCAAAUGCUCAAACGGAUCGAAGAAUCAAAGCUCACGUGCCCUCGGAACAAUCUGAUGCAAACAGCGAAGAUCUAUCAUGCCCCAGAGCCGGUUUAGAAACCAAAGCUUGUGAGAAAUAUGCCAUUUUUUUUUUUUAAACAGCCCGGCCUACAUGACGUACAGACCCACCACAAAUACAAAUCCCUCUGCCCAAACGGAUAGUCUUCUUUGUAUUUGUACAGCGUACCGAUCAAACAACAUCAACAGGAUCAUAACUCACAUCCUACAUUCAUGAAUCCACAAACAAUCAAUGCGAUGUAUUUUCAUACAGCUAACCAUCCUUAGAAAUGAUAUUUACCUUUAAGCACUCCUUAGGCGCUUGAUGAUACGAUGCAAAAUACAACAAUUAUCCUAUCAAAAAUGCUUCCGACCCGGAAGCUUUCACUAUUUAAAACUCUUAGUAUUUAUCAAUCGAAAACCAUUCAAACACCCUUCGAAAACUAUUUUCCACACAAAAAUUCAAUUUUUUGAAGACCGACUAUCACAAAGGGUAGAAAACGAAAUAAUAUGAUUCCAUAAACACAAAUGCUGAAGAUACAGAAAACUCCAAGUACAUGCAUAAUCGAAAAUCCAAAUUCAUUUAAGUCCAAGGUUACCAUUCAUGCAUUAAUAUUAUGAUUAUCUAAUUGAACUAUUCGAUUGUUUAGUCUACUAAAAGAAGUAAAAAGAAAAGAAAUGGGGUAAUGACCGCUAAUGUGAUCUAGCUAUGCCAUCCUCACUUACAGUGUUGACCCUCACCACCCGACCUACCCGAAAAAAUGGUGGGGGAUGAGAACAUGUAAACAAGUCUUCCCCUCCCAGUGGGUACCACAAGCCGACGAAGAUAAGUUGCACACACCGGCAGAUGGAAGGGAUAAAUAGUAGUAUUAACAAGUAUAACAUAGAUAAUAAUAACGAAUAGCAACUACCGAUAGUCCCAAAAGGAGCUACUACUGUAUUUCCGUGCUAGUACUCGAAUUAAUGGAUUAGAGUAUAUAAAACUUAAUUUGGAGUUAAGCUAGAAUUAUAAUUUUAUAUAUUGGACUUGGAAUUGAUGUAGGAGAAAACUAUUGAACCCUACACUGUCAUUUCUGAAAAUUACCAAAUUUAGCUUUAGGAGCUGUGGUUCGUUUGUAUUGUCGCUGUUUGUAUGCGGUGGAUAUCCAGAUUAGUGUAGGAUGAGUUUACGCUCGUGCUGGGAUGCUGAGCUUAUUUUACAUUAGUGUGUAGACUGUUUUGAAUUGUCGGUUGCCGUCGCGGUUGGCGGUGGACCCAAAUUUUUGUGUUUUGCCUCAGAUUGUGCCAAAGGCACGUGAGCUUUGGUUGUUAGACCAGUUAGACCCAUUUGUAUGAAUUAUAGCCUGUGAGAGCCUGAUUGAGCUCGGUAGAGACACGCUUGCAUACUCGGUUGGGUCGCGCCCACGAGUGCCGCUCCGGAGUUUUGCUAUGUGCUUUUGCAUUGAUGUCGUAGUAUCUAGUUAGGACUUUGCUCUCCACUGGCAGCCCUCGGGGUGGUGUGCGGUGUAGCUUCGACAGGCGGGACGGGUGCGUUCACAGUCCCUAGUGAGUUUGGGUCAGAGAUUGUAUUUUUGCUCUAUCUACAGAUAGCCGGUGUUGGUUAGUGAUAGUAUAGUGGCAUAUAACUGUAGGGUUUCCGCUUUCCUUACUAUCUUUUACGCACUUUUCUGUAGACUUAGUGGGUAAACCGUUGAGGUCGAUAACGGUACCCACUGAGGACUACUCCUUUUUGCAGUAGUUCUCAUACCCAGUUGUUGACCCAUUUUUGUAGAGGCUUCGUCCGCGGCUGCUGCUGUCGCCGAUUCUGAUCGUGGAAAGGGAAUCGUGAGCUAGAUUCGUUCCAGUCUUGCUGCAGUACUAGAGGAGUACCUUCCAGAGGUAGUUUUGGGCUUUCCUUGUACAUAUGGUCUUGUUGUCUGGGUACUCGCUGGAGCGAGUGGUGUAGUAGACUUUUUGUAUUGUAUGUACAGGAACCCCUCGAGUCUUUAUAUAUAUAUAUGCUAUUUUUAGUUUAGCAGCUCUUUACUUUGUGGUUAUAGCUUGAUUUUGUUUACAGGUACAGCUAUCGCUUCGUAUACAGAAAAAAUUCUUAUGUAUACGACGAGUCUGUUUGUGUGUCCGAGGAAACGUGUAAUCCGGGGCGUGACACCUAACUUUGGGCUAAUCUUGAAAACCGCAAGUUUUAUAACUUCAUAAAUCUUUAUUAUUGCUUUCCGAUAUCAAGAUGUAGUUAUGGUUUCAUAACGUGAGAUGUAAACGUCGAAGUUUUGGAUUUUGAUCAAUUUUGGUUUUCUCAUGAUAAAUGGAUUUUCGAUUUGGUUUUAAAAUAUUAUAUCAGUUCAAACUUCUCUCUAUCUCACCCUGUUGUAGUUGUAUUAUGUAUAUGUUGUUGUUGUGGUUGGUUGUGUGGUUGAAUAUUAUAAAUUUUACUCCUACGCAGUGCAUAUAUAGGAGAGACUCCAUCUGUUUGUACAAAGAAGAGAGUCUAUCCAUGUGACAGGUUUGUGUACGUUUGAAGCAGGUUUAUAAUAUAUAUAAAAAAAUACAUUUUUUUUGUUGCACUUUGUUUUCACUAUGAAAGACUUUACAAAAAGGCCUCGUGACAUGAUAAUUUAGAGUCCAAUAAAAUUCUAAUAAAAAUGUAGUGGAAAAGACAUUUAUGAUAUAAUUUAUGGAUUUAUGAGGAUGAUAUUGAUAUUGAGAAUUUUGAAGAGACAUUUAUGAUAUGUUUAAAAUUGUCUCUAUUUUUUUUUGAAAAAAUUGAUUUAAAAGUUAAAUAUGAUAUGUCUUUCUAGUUACUUAUCAAACACUUCAAGUUUCUUAAGUAACUUUAAAAGAUAAGCUAAAUGAGAUGUUCAUAUAUCCAAAUAUAAUGAUAGCACGUAGACCCAAUAUCGUCACCCUCAACAUUAUCUUUCAUGCCUAGAAUUCAUCUCAAUCUUGCAUAUGAUGCCUAUUGCCUUUUUUUGGGGCAUUCAAUCGAUGCUUUAGCGUUAAGCUGAAUGUGGUAUUAAAUUCUUCCAAAGAUUUAGAAAAAUUACUACAGAGAGAUUAAUCGGAUGCUACCGGACCAUAAUCGUAGUCUUAUAUAAGAAGGUAGUGUCGGCCUAACGGGACCAUCAUCCUACCUUAUGGUGGAAGUAGAGUUUGUUCGAAUCACAAUCAUACCUUGUGUAUGCUAUGUGUUUGCCUCACUUUAAGUUGAAUUGGUUACCUCCUUCCUAAUAGUUUGAGCUUUUGAAAUUGUAGUCACAUGGAUGAAGUCGCGAGUCAACUAUGAGGAGGGGCCAAAAUAUAUACUAAUAAACACUUUAACUUAUAAGUAAGAUUUUUCCUAAUCAAAUUUUCAAGGAAAAAAUUUACAUGAUUAGAUAAUUAAUGUACAAAAAUAUUAGCUCUUUUUUUAUUUGCCUUUAACUUUCAAUUAUUUUAUUUGCAUUAUUCCAAUCAAAUAGCUUAAGAAUUUUACUAAAAACUAACAGUAACUCAGUCAGCCAUCUAAUUUUUUAGUUUUUUUUGUAAAUAAAAUUAUUAUAAUCAAUAACUAUUAGCUAAUAGAGAUAUUAAAUUUAACAUAAUAAUUUAUUUGUUAAAUGAAAUAGCUCAUUCAAAAUAAUUAAAAGUUAAGAAUGUAUUAAACAAAAUGUUUAAAGUUGAGGAACUUAUUCCAAAAUACCUUAUAACUAAGAGGUUUUUAAUAUAGUUUUCACCCAUAAAACAAAAAAGAAGAGACAAAAAAAGAAUUCAAUUUUAGCACCAAAGACUUUUUAUAAAAUAGGCCAAUAUAUUUUAAAAAUUAGUCAAAAUUUUAUUAACCAGCUUAAGAACUACCUAAGUAAAUAUUGCAAAGUUGUGGAGGGCCAUCACCACUUUGGGUCUAUGUAUAUAUUCGUUCUUGGUGAUUAACGCAAACAAUUCAACAAAUAAUAUCAGAAUAGAUCACGUGUUUUUUUCUCACAUAUUUUAAUUUGUGUAGGUACUGAAGGAAGCUUUAAGUAAAUUAGUUUUUUUUUUUUUUUUUUUUUUUUUUUUUUUUUUUUUUUUUUUUCUAAUAGCUCGAGUGAUCCAACGAGUAGGUAGAAAUUUUGUUGGAGUUGACGUAAUGUGACCUAUAAAAAUUGAGAAUUUGGAUGAAUUAAACCAAGCAAUAAUUAAAAAAAAAUAAUUAAUUACCAAAGUAAAAAAAAAAGAAAAAAGAAAAAAAGAAAGAUCAAAGAGACGAAUGGUGCAAGUAAUCGAGUAGAUAUUUACUUUCCGCGGUAGUUGUUGGGAUGUUUGACGCUUUCGCGGCACGCGAGCGAAGUGAACACGUGAUUCACGAGGGCGCGUCUAAAUUUUGAUCAAAAUAUACGUGGCAUAGAUCUACUGGACCUGGUCUACCACGUCAUUUGCGAGCCAAACAAUUAAUUGAAGGUGAAAAUGUAUGGGACCCCCUCAACUAUAUUGCUUUCUGAAAGAGGGCCCUCAACUUUUUUUUCUUCCCAACGGUACCGCUCAACUUCUUCUUUCUUUUCUUUUAUUUGAAAUUUUGUACUUUGUUAAGUUAAAAAUUUAUUAAAUUUACUAAUUUUAUUGGCUAUUAACUGUAAGUUGAUCUAGUUUUAUUUUUUAAAAGUGAUUAAGUUUAUUAAAUUUAUUGAAUCAUUAAUCAAUUUGAUAAAAUUUCUUAAAUUUUUUGACUAAAGUUAUCGUUUUAUUAGAAAAUUAGAAGUUGAGAACGUCUCACUCCAAAAAUAUAUGUUGAACAUUUAUAAUUUCAAUAUUAAUAUGUAUAUAUAUAAAUAAUUUAAUUUAAUAUUUAGUAUAUUACUAGUCGGAUUCAAUUUUUUAGUUUCGGAUACAUAAUUUUGGUCUUUUAUUUGAUCCCAUUUCAAAUUUUAAAUUUUCAUAUUUUGAUUGUGUUCAACAUGAUUUUGGGUUUCAGUUUUUUAUUUAGAUUUAUUUUGUUUUUUAUAAAAAUGGUCUCAAGUCAAAGUUAAGAAGGGUCAAUCCAAAAAAAAUUAAGUUGGAGGGUCAAUUCACGAUAUUAUAUAGUUGAAGGAUUUUUGUACAUUUUUGCCGAAUAAUUAGUUUAAUAAUUAAUAAUAUUCGGAGUUAGUCGUCGUUAUCUAAUAGCGUGGUCUCGUCGCUCUCCUCUCACAAGGAAAGGGUGAGAGAGAACGAAAGUGCGAAAGAAUAUCUCCGAGCUCAAAAUUAGGGUUUCGUCUUCUCCGUCUCGCUCCUCCGAUCUUGGCGCUCUCCCUCAAUCGCUAGGGUUUCUUCGAUCUCCCUCGCCUCCUCCUUCGAGCCCGGCGAUCUCCCUUCGGAUCGCUAGCGUUUCUUCGUCGUCUUCGAGCUCCUCCGAUCUCGGCGUGCGAUCUCCCUUGAUCGAAUUCGCCUCAGGUAACUCUUCUCCUUCUCAAGAUCGAGGGCGUUGGUUUCUUGAUCUCGUAUGAAGAAUUAGGGCUAUCAUCUGUUUUGAUCCGUCGUUUUCUUCCCUUUUGUUGCGGAUUGAUGCUGUGUUCUUAGAAAUUGCGGCUCUUCUUGCAAAAGAAAAAAACAGAAAGAAGCUCUUUUUGUUAGUGAUAUGGAGAUUCCAAUAAUUUCAUCUUUCUUAUUUUUAAUUCAGCUGGACGAAUGAAGGUUGUGGAUUCCUGAUCUCUUAUGAAGAAAUUAGGUCAUAUCACCUGUUUGAUCCUUUGUCCUUUUUGUUUUGGUGCGAAAAAAGUAGCUUUCUUGUUACAGUUUUCUCUUUUUUAAACAAAAUAUUGUUUCUAUUUGUUACUGUAGAUCUCUGAGUCAGAUUCUCUUUCGAUCUAUUUUGGUUUCUCGAUAGUGAUUUUGAUAAAUUUUUUCCGAAUUUGUUCACUUUUACAUUGUAUGGAGAUCUUAAUAAUUUCGUUCGUCUUCUUUCUAAUCUAGUUCAACGCACAAAGGUUAUGGUUUUCUGAUUUCAUAUAACGAAAUUAGGGCGCAUCGUCUGUUUGAUAUGUUGUUCCUUUUUCUUUUGGUACGAAAAGUGGCUAUCUUGUUAGCAUAUUCAGCAUUCUUUACAUAAAGGAUGGCUUUUUUUGGUUUUUGUAUAUCUCUGGUUUGGAUUCUUGCAUCUAUCUUGGUUUCUUUCUAGUGAUUUUUAUAAAAUAUGUGGAAUUUAUUUAAGCGGACGUCUAUGUACCUCCUAAUUCUUGUUACCUUUUGGAUUUUUUUUUGUUUUUAUCACUCUUAUGUGAGUCUUAUUACUGGAUUUUAGGAAUCUAGCUGCUACCUGUAAAAUUGGAACAUUGCAUUUGUCAUUAGUAAGAAGAAGUUAAGCUUCAAGUCAAGAGAGGGGGGAGCCCCUUUUAGGACAUUUCCUUCGAAGGUUGUGAUUUCUUGAUUUCACAUGAAAAUGAGGGCAUGCUGUAUGUCUCAUCCGUUUUCCCCUGGCAGAAAUAGCUGUAUUUGUUACUGUAUAUCUCUGAUCCAGAUUCUUUCACCUAUUUAAUUUGUUGAUAGUGAUUUUAAUUGAUAUUUGUGGGUUCUUGAUUUCAUACAAAAAUUGUAAUCAAUAUGUAGAUGAAUAUAUUAGAAAUUGUCUCUUUGAAAGUUGUGUGUCUUGAUUUCAUACAAAAUUUAGGGCACACAUUUGUCUGAACCUUUCUUUUCUUCUUUUUCUCUUGCCAAAAAUAACUGUUUUUUUUUUUUUGCUGUAGAUAUCUGAUCCAGAGAAUUUUAUCUAUCUAUUGGUUUUCUUGGAGAUGGUUUUAAACAAUCUAUGUGCAAUAACAUAUUGGAGAAAUCACUUUAUUUUUCACAUUUAUGUAGUUCUUUUAAUUAUUUUCAUCACUCUUACAGUGAAAAAUAUUUCUGGUUUGUAGGAGUGUUAAACCAUACUGCUUGUAACCAAGAAGUGAAGCUUCAGAUUGUAAGAGGAAGGAGAGCUUUUAGGCUAUCUUCUUUCGGAGCGGAUGGCCAUGGAUGAAGAUUGUGCAACUGUAGAUGAGUUAUAUAACGAGCGAAUGAGAUCAUGGUAUUUCAGCAGACAAGAGAUUGAGAACAACUCUCCUUCAAGAAAAGACGGCAUUGAUCGAAGGAAGGAAUCAGAGCUUCGGAUGCUGUACUGUUCAUUUAUUGGGGAUGUUGGCAGGAGACUUAAAUUGUAUGUGCUUCCUCAUCAUUGAUUCACUUUUAACAUGCAAUGGGGCAAGUUAUGUUGUUUCUUCUGGGAGGAAUUUUCUGUUUUAUUCAUGACUUCUUGUAUAUACCAGGGGAUGUAGAUAACAUUUUCUUCAAUUCUAUCUGAUGUUCUUUAAGGAGCAAUAUGUGAAGUUAACAGUCUAAAUGGCAGUGGUAAUAUCUUGGUGCUUAGAUUUGCUUUGAUAUUACUAUCUUUGAGAGGUUUUAGAACUUUCAGAAAAAAAUUGGGAAGUAAUGCAUAUUCCAGUGAUCUGUAUUUACUUUUUUCUAGUAUAUACGUUGGCAAGAAAUGAGUUCCUUUUUCCCCACAUUGGGGUAACCUAUUCAUCUUUCUGGUUUCUGCUAUGCAACCAUCCAGUUGUCCUCUUCUCAGUAGAUUGAACGCCACUUUUCGUGCUUAUAGGCUUGGUUCCUCUUCUUUUUUUUUUUGGGAAAAUAAAGUUGUACAUUAUUCUUUGUUUUCAUCUGCUCAGUGACCGUUUUUUACAUUAAUAAAUUUAUACUUUGUCUAUCAGCUUUAUUCAGAUAAUCAAUUUUCCAAUAUAUGCAUUUUUCUUCAUCUUUAUGAGCUAUCCUGUAUUGGCUGGAUAUUGAAUGGAUUGCUUUUAAGAGCUAUUCGUAAGCAUACUUUAUCAUUAUGUCGAUGAUGUCUUAUGGGAAGCGAGCAUGUCUUCUUUUUUCUUUUUGUACGAGAAUGCUAAUUGUUCAAUUUACCUUGCAGACCUCAGAUUUCGAUUGCAACGGCAAUAAUGUUUUGUCAUCGCUUCUAUCUCCAUCAGUCUCACGCAAAAAAUGAGUGGCAGGUGUGUAGCAUCAUACGUUCAUUUUUAUGUUAUUCUCCUGCAAUUCUUAUACAAAAUCCUCAUAAUUAAAUUGAUCAAAGGUUUGAAUUUGAUCUUUGGUUUUGCUGUCGUGGCCAAAAUACUAAGUUAUCAUAGUUUCUUACAUUCAUUUAGCUUUAUUACAUGGUUGAUGCUGGUCAUGUUUCUAGUUUAAAUUCUUAAAAGAAAUUCAUUGAACUGUGGAUGUAUUGUAAAGAUGCUUUCACUUGUUGGUCUCCCUUGGUAUGGUCAUUCCAUAGUUAUAGGCACAAAAGGAACUAGAAAACAUUUUACGUAGGACCUACAGGUGUUCAUUCAUGAUUGAAUAGAAUGCUAUUAUUUGCAUCUCAUCUUGUCUGUAGAAGGUAUAGAGAGAAUGGGGUAUGUUUGGUUUGUGUUUGUGUAUUUUACAUGUGCUAAUCAAUCAAAACUCGAGUGUUUUAUGUGCCCAGCAGAGGUAAAGUUAUGGAAAAAAAAGUCAAAUAUUGGGAAUUCUUAAUUAUUUUGAUUUUUUUCUCGAAAUUUUAUUGUGUUUUGUCCCAUUUGAGCACUUUUGUUUCAUUACUAUUUCUUGAGAGAGAUAAAACCCAUCUCUGAUACUUGGCAUCAAAGCCAAGGUCUGGAAGGAGACUUUUAGAGCAACUAAACAUUUUUUCAACGAUAAAUUCCAGAGUGGUUGGAACUUGGAAAACAACUAAAAGAAUUGGUGCAUAAAAUUCAAAUCACUUUUUAUGAGCUGUGGAGGAAUCCAAGUUCUAAAAAAUAACUGAAGCAAGUAUUAACAAGGAGGCAUGAGACAUGCUUGCCACUCUUUUCAUGGAGAUGAACUUGUGAAGCAGAUUCUCCUUUAAAACGCGAUUUUAAAACAAUGCAUAUGGGAAGUACAAAUGUUUGCUGAGUGUAUGCUUGUAUAUUUGUCAUUGUCAACUAAAUAAGGAGAAGAAAAGAACAACUUGGCAAUUCUUGAGUUGUAGAGUACAUCCUUGCUCACAGAUAUUUGAACUGAUUGUAAUUGCCUUAAAAGGGCCAAGAGCGGAAGGGCAUUAGGUCCUUCUGUGGCCUACUGGCAAAAUCCACCUAGGUUCAUACGCAAAGUCAUAGGGUAUGGUGUAAGUUAUUCUUGAGCAAGCCUUGGAGUCAAAGUGAAAACUUCAUGAGUGAAGUGAUAAGAAGCCGAAGAUUAAGCAAUGGUGACAAAGGAGAUAACACGACAAUAAAGGCAGCCGUUGCCAAAACAAGAGACAACAUAGGAGGUAAAAUGGAGGAUGAGGAAAUCCCUUAGUAAAUGGAAAGGCAUCAUGGAGGAUCCUCGCAUGUCCUUUCCAAGCAUGACAUCCUUUGCUAUAAUUGCUAUAUGGCAUUAUAGUUGGAAAUGUUGAAAGGAGAUUGGAUAGAAGAAUAUCCAUACAAAUGGCAGCAUGGAAGAAAGUCAACUCAUCUACUCAUGUGACAAGAAAUAUACAGAGAAUUCAGAUGAUAUAUGGUUUCUUUCUGCCUCCCUGCUUUAAUUUGGUGAAAUGGAGCUUGCAGGGGAACAUCAAGUUUGUGGCUCAUCCAAAAUUCUUCUGAAGGGAAGAGAAAAAAGUCAUGAUCCAUUGAAGAACAACAGAACAGAACAAUAACUGUGAUGUGUAUUUUGUCUCAGAAUUGAAGAGCAACAUGCGCAUCAGGCAACUGCUUGAAAAUGGCAAUAUGAUCCACAUGAUUCAACAGUAGCCUUGAAGUUUGAGAGAGGGUGGUUUCAAAGGUGCAAAUGUCAAAGAAUCAAAAUAUUUCUAUCAACAUGGGGGGGCUGAAAGAUUGAGAAAUGCUUUUGAGCAUAUGUGAAGGCGUUGUCAAGGUUGUGUCAUUUGUGUCAAGAACACUUGAACUUAUGAAGCCUUGACACUAUUUUCUUAAAGAAUGGUUAAUUGACUAUUGUUGAGCAAUCACCCAUAACUAGUACGUGAAGAGUGCAUAGUUGGAAAGCAAACUCAACAACCUUUGACGAAUGGUAAUACACGGCUGACCUUAACAUUCUUCUACUCCGCUAGAUAUCUGUACUCAUUCUCACGAAUUAGCUUUAGGUUACUAGUAUUUUAUCGCAUUAAUAGAUACUAACAUUAGAUAGAUAUAUGUAUAUUUCGUUUGUAAAAAUUCGGCAAUCUUUUCUAUAUCCAAAAAGUUUAAGCUGUCAGCACAAUGGGGGAGAGUUACAUUUGUAGAAUUUGAGAUAGUGCAGAGGUGCAGGUUACAGCACAAGUGCUCUAGAUUGUUUUACAGCGAAAGCGGCAUUUGGCAACAAUUUGACUCAACAACAAACGGAGUUGCAGAACAAGAUAAUAGAAACACUUUAGGCAUGGAAAAAGUUAUGCUAAACAAGUAAAGCCCAUCAGAAUCAGAAUCAUUUGUGGUUUGCUUAAUGGAAGUUCAGACCAUGAGUGUGGAGGCAUAUGGUGUCACAAUGAGUGCGAAGCAGAUAUGAUCUGAGCAUCAAAACAAUCUGAGUGUAUUUGAGUGAAUUCACUGUUCUGAAAUAUAUAAGAAAGAAAAGUUUAGUUAGAUGUUCUACACAAGAAUGCACAUCUAUCAGGUAGGCUUAGUGAUCAAAAGCCUACAAACUCUAUAAUCUAGAGGCCGCCGAAGUUGAGAUUGGUGGAGAUAUUUUUUUUGGCAAAGAUGCUGCAUUCAUUAGGUGUCUGCCAUGUGAAAUGUGCAUUUGGAAAGAUGUCUUUACAAGGAGGUGGCGAUUCAUGUGUUUCUUUGCAUGAAGAAUUGAAAAGGGUAAAAUGAAGAGUUAACCACUGGGUUAUAAUAAUACUUUUACAUGCUUAUAAAAGGAAAUUCCAAGGCAUGAUAUGUAGAUAGUGCAUCUCUAAGUUCUACUGGAUUGGCUAGAAUAAAAAUCAUUGCUCAAAUAGCUUAAAAGAAAUUGUGUCUUUCAUUCUUUUGAGUGGCAUCUUAAUACAACUUUUGUUGUUACGUAUAUAUCAGGCAUUUUAUUUUUUAUUUUGCUCUGCUGAAUGAUUGCUAGUCCAAUCCUUUAUUUACUUAUAUCAUACGUAAAUAUUUUAGUAGUGAAUUAAAUUACUCUACAGUCACGUCUUUUUUCUGCAAUUUGGCUGUAAUUUUGCAAUACUAACUGUAGAAUUAGAUUUUUUUUUCCCCCUAAAAGUUUACCUUUUCUCUUUUUCUCCUGUCAGAUAUUGACCCUUUAUAGCUGACUAUAUACGAAUUUUGGGUCAGUCAAGGGUUUUCUAGGCUAUGAGAGGUUUUGGCAUAUAUCAGGAAAACAAAAACUACAUACUUCAUUUUGCCGAAUUCAAGUUUUCAGCAUUUUUGCUUGGAGAAUCUAUAGAGGGCUGUGACACAACUGGGAUUUGAGAUUUAUUUUAAGCGAACUAAACGAAACCGAAGGAUCCAUCUUUGUAAAUAACGCUUUUCUGUAAGUAUUGAAACCUAUAUCAUUAUUUGCUUUUCAGUUAAUUUAUAAGAAAGGCUCCUAGAAAUGUUGCUAUUUCCACUUUGCCACCCUGUAAUAUUGAAACCGAUAUCACUUUACCUCCUUCCGUCACAGUUCCCUCAGCGAUAUUUAUUAGUUUGCUUAUAGAUUAAUGGGGUAAAUUGGAGUUCUUAAUAUUUCAGGGGUGCCAACGUGAAUGCAGUGAUAUCUAUUGGAUUGUAUCUGCAUUACUUAUCUGCUUGUAAUUUUGAACUGUGUACUUGACAUUUCAAUCCGGAUUGUGCUUCUUUUAAAGAUCUUAUGGAUUGAAAUUAAUUGUUACAGUUAUAUCUCUUAGAAAUUACUUUUCCUAUUUUUAUUCAAUGUUUAUUUCUCAAUAUAAUUCAUUAUUUCCUAUAUUAAUACCCCUGUUUUUGGUUGUCUUCAGACCAUUGCAACAGUAUGCAUAUUUCUUGCGGCCAAGGUUGAAGACACCCCCUGUGCAUUGGACUCUGUUGUGAGGGUGGCCUAUGAAACUAUGUAUAGACGAGAUUCUACUGCUGCUCGAAGAAUUUCUCAAAAGGUACUAGAAACUUUUCAUUUCUCGUAUCAUUCAAGGUAAUACUGUACAGUGAUCUGGUCAAUUUACAUUUUGGGUUACAGCUUUAAACUUCUGUAAUAUUUUAUUUGAGAUAACAGCUUUGUCAGCUGCUAGAUUCUAGCUCUAACAAAACCUGCAGUUCCUUCAGCCAAAUGUUAUAUAAUGGAAUCCACAAUUCAUUUCAAGGAAAGACUCAGAUCAAAACAAACAAACAUUUAUGUUUUAAUUAAAACAGAAAAAGUUUUGAGGGGUCUUUUCCUAACGGCCUAUAGUUAAACGGAUCUUCGUACUUUCACGCAACUGCAACCGAGUCUUUGAAACUUCUCACAUAUAGAUUUUAGUCCCUGAACAUCUCGUUCCAUGGCAGGAUGUUUUUGAGAAGCAGAAGGCCUUGAUCUUGAUCGGGGAGAGAUUACUACUAUCCACUGUACGGUUCGAUUUCAACGUGCAGCAUCCAUACAAGCCGCUUCUUGAUGCUUUAAAUAAACUCAGGAUUACUCGCAAGGAUGUUCGACAAGUAGCGUGGAAUUUUGUGAAUGAUUGGUAUAUUUUAAAUUUUAAUUUUGUGCUUUUAUAUUUUUUACUGACCAUUCCUUUUCUUUUCUAGCAAAUUUAGCCUGUCUUUUAACUUUAGGACUAAUUAACCUUCACUAUAGUAGAAUGAUGCCCAAUUACGAUCAAAUCAUGCAGUGUAGGGGGGGAAUUUGGUCCUGAAUAUGGGAGUGGACUAAAUUCCCAAAGCGAAAAAAAUAAGUUCCUUAUUUUAAACUGCAAGAUUGGUUGUUUCUUUUUGUUUUCUUCCUUGUAAAAAGUCCCUUCUGUUUUAUAUCCCUUGACCUAACUUUAUGAUGCUUUGUGUAUUUUAGGCUCCGGAGUACACUGUGCCUGCAAUAUAAGCCCCAUUAUAUAGCGGCAGGGUCACUCUUCCUUGCUGCUAAGUUUCAUAAUGUCAAACUCCCUUCAGGAAGGGGGUAUGCAUGGUGGAAUGAGUUUGAUGUCAACCCUCGGCAGCUAGAAGGUGACUUUUUGCAAUUUUUUGGACUACAAAAUUGGGUUGAUUGCAACUUCACUCCUUGAAGUUUGACUGAUUUUCAAUUAAUGUCCUUAAAGAGUUUCAAUUUUUACGAUCUAGUCCCAAAAGUUUGUUUGGCGUGACACUUUAAACUCUUUCAUGAGUCUAGUUGCCACAUUCACAUCAUCUUUAGAGUUCAUUACCAGGAACUAAACGUUGGGACUAAGUUGUGGAAAUAAUUGCUCUGAGGUUCGAAUUGAUAUCGAAAUCAAACAUAAGGAAUUGGCUGAUUAACUCAAACUUCUGGACUAAAUUGCUGAAAUCAGUGCUCUGAGGUUCUAAUUGAUAUCGAGAGCGAACUUAUGUAAUGGACUGAUUAACCCAAAAAAUUGUUGAAGGUAAUUUCUUGCUUGAUAUCAUUUUGCAAUUUGAACUAGCUUGUAUAUACAAACAUGAUGUCUCACUUGGACUCGCGAAUCGUCUAACUUUUUGAUUGAAAGAUGUUGAAAUAAAAAAUUGUUUUUCCUGCAAUUUUAGAGUAGUUCAUGAAUGCGAAUGUCAUAAUGGUAAAUCGAGACUAACAGAAUUUUUUCUAUUUAUGCAGCUGCAAUCCGGGAAAUGAUGGAGCUAUAUGCUUCCAAGCAAAGAUCAGUGGCUACCCCGCAUCUUGAGAAGCCAAUUGUGGAAGCUCCGGCGGUGGAAAAGCAGCAGAUUUCUAGCAGCCCCGAUUCGGUUCUCAGUGCACCAGGCUUCUCCACCAGCAGUCCUAGCCACGAUUUAAACGGAGAAGAGGGUGGUUCACAAAGAGAUUUUGAAUGCUCGACAAGUAAUGCUGAGGUGGAAAAAGGGCUCAAUCAAGUCGACGUUUGCAGAAUUAAGGAGCUGAUGAAGAAGAGGAAAAGGCAGAGAGAAGUUUAUGGGAAAGCCGUUACUUCUGUCGACUGUAAUGAAGAAGAAGAUGCGUGGAUAGAGAGAGAAAUUGAAGGCGGCAUUAUUCUUGGAGCUGAAUCUCCUAGGAAGAAGCGAAAGCAGCUAUGAAAGAGAGAACAACUCAAAUCCAUACUGUAGCUAUAGAACAGAGCAUUGGAAUCUAUACGAGUUUUCUUUUUUCUUCCUUCCACUCUAAUUUAGGCGUGUAAUGUCAUAAAGGAGGCCACGGCAAUUUUCUUGGCACAUAGCUAUUUAGGUUCAUAUUCUUUCCCACCAAACUGAUAAUUUGUAAAAUAUUUGUCGUAAGUGGUGCAUUUAAUCUCAGGAAUUUACAUCAUUGUAACAUUUUGGGCCAUUUCAAUGAAAUUAUUAAGCCCUCUGCUCCUUCUAUUUCCAUUAAAGUUUUCGUAAAAAUUUCGGAACCAAUGUAGCAAUCAGAAGGCGCAGGCAUGUCUCUCUCUAUUGUUACAGUGUAUGUUCAUCACUUGUGCUUAUUUUUAUUUUCACAAAUUUGUGGGUUCGUAAUUAAUUGCUUGUGGUUUGGUUCUUCUUACGUCGAAAGUGACAAUUGUUAUGUAAAUUUCAUACCUUAUGAUCUUACAGUUAUAAAUAGGUGUAAAGUGCACCUGUAGACUCUUUGUUUACGACGAAUUGUAAUUUGGUGCCAAAUCCUUCCCUUUGUUCUUCCGUUCCCAAAUUUACCCAAGCUUUUGCAAUCUGGUCUCCAAGCCAAAAGUUUCUCCAUACGUUUUUACUCUAUUCAUAAUUUGUUUCCAUUUAUGCACAAGAAAUGAAGCAUGUGUUCCUAGCACAAAAUCCUCUUCUGGAGCUAAAUUGUGUAAGGAAUUCUCUGUGUAGAUUGAACCAAAGUUGAGAAAGCAUCCUUUGAUUAGGAGUUGAGAAUCCAUGAAGAAAUCAUAUUGUUGUAUCAUAUCCAUGCUUCAUAAGUUGGUUCACUGCAUGGUGGCUUCGCAAUUGAUCCGUCAAUGAAGCUAGAUUUAUUUUUAGCACUCAAGGCCAUUAACAUUGUCUGGCUCUACGUUGCAUAAUUCUCGCCACUAAGUGGUUGAGAUACCAAAGGGGUUCCUAGAUUAUCAGAGUGAUGAAGAUAAAAAAGGCUUGUGAUAUCAUCAUAUACCUUAGCAUUGGAGGAAGUAUUUGUGCUCCAUUGUAGUAGAUUACACAAAGGGAAUUGAAGAAGAGAUGAGGAAGUAAAAGAGCAUGGAACCUCAAACCUCAGCUCUCAUACCAUGUAAAAAUUGGAAAAAAACAUAAAAUAGAAGUUUGAUAGGAAAGAAGCAAAAAAAGACUUAACUAUUCAUUCAUAUACAUGAGUUUAUAUGAACGACAAGUAUAACAACUCAAGUAGUUGCAACAAAUAUUCAAACUAAUAAAUCCUAACUUAUCUCAACAGAUGAGAGAUUAAGUUAAUAGAUCUCUCAUCCGUUCUCAACAAAAUCUAUUGUUUCCGGGUAAAGAUCGAUUUAUUGAAAUCUUCUGUCAAGUUGAUUUCAAUAAUUUUUGUUGCUAGUUUCAUAUAGUUUCUUAUUUUUUCUUACCAAAGCAUGUUAGUUAUAUGCUCUGCUAUCUUUAAUUAGUGUUUUUAAUCGAGCUACUAGUUUUCAUCUAAAAUUAUAAAUUUAUUAUCUUUAUAGUAAAAAAUAAAUAGUAGUGUCUUAAAAAAAAAAAAAUUCUAUCAGUAUAGAAAAUACAAAAAUUUAUAGAAUAUAAUAAUAUUAGUAUGUGAUAUAAUUAAGCCUUUGUCAAACCAUAAAAUGACAAAUCUAAAAUAUGCGAAACCAAAGUUGACCUUUUUCUUCAUUUACGAAAUAAUGUGUGAAGCUCACGCGAAAAGGCAUAUUUCGUUAUCCAUUAAUAUUGUUGGCCUAUGCCGCUGUGCCACGUGUUCCUUUGACCAAUUCGUUGGAGUCAAAUACACGUCUGGCUUCAAAACAACGCGGUUUGCGUAGGGCUGGAAAAGAAUAUUUUUUAUAAAUAAUUCUAUCCAUUUUUAUAAUUAUAAAAAUAAUUUUUUUAAAAAAAUAAUUAUAAAAAUAGACCUUUAAAUGCGGUGAAUCAUUCACCGCAUUCAUAACUUCUAUUUAGCAGUAAAAAAAUAAUAAAAGCUGUGAAUCAUUCAUCGCUUUUACCAUCGUAGAAUUAAAGAAAAAGAAAGAAAGCGGUGAAUGGUUCACCGUUUUUAAAAGCGGUAAAUCAUUCACCGCUUUUAUGAGACUAUAUCUACAAAUAAAAUAUUAACAGAUUUAUUUUUAAAAUAAAAUUUUAGAAGAGGACUAUUGAACUAAAAACCCCGCUUUUUUCCAGACCCUGCUCACGUUUGGCUCCGUAUUCCGCUUGGUUCGGUACUUAAAAUGAGUCUAAGCUUGAACCCAAAAAAAAAAAAAAAAAAAAAAAAAAAGUCUUACAAUAGAUUUAUUUAAAAAGAUAUAAAGAUAAGAAUAAAAAUAUAAAAAUAAGAAUAGAAACCGGAGAAAUAGAUAUGUAUAGAAAUAAACUUUUAAAUAUCCUUUUCUCCAACAAAUAAUAUUUUUUUAAUUAAAUAUCUUUAUAUCAUUCGAUAUCUUUUUCUUUUACAGUAAAUAUUUAAAAUUAUCUCAAUUCUAUCCAUUAAUAUUUAGUUCUUAUAUUGACUUUUUAUUGAUUGCAAUAAUAAAAUCUUUGGCUGAUUAAAAUUUUUGGCUGAUUUUAUUAUAUUUAAGUGUCAUAACUUGUUGAAAUUUAUUUGCCAAUUGCUAUUAAUUUUGCCGAAUAAUAUUAAUUGCUUUAGAGAACUGAUAUUACCAAAACUCGCAUACUUUUAAACACUUCAGAGUAAAAAAUUGCUAUUAGUUUUAACAAAUCUCUAAAUUAUUUCAGAAAUAUAAUUUAAGUUAAAAUAGUGCCAAUAAAAGAAUAAAAUAGUUCACGGACCUAUUUAUUGACCGCCCCGAUUACAAAGUGGGAGACAAUAAGGAGAAAUGACAUAAAAUUAGACAAUGCAUCUAUACAUCUAAAAACUAGGUAUAAAUUUUACACCAACUAAAAUUUAUAUUCGUAAAUAUAGAUUUAUCGAAAUGUAUUUGUAAAUACAGAUUUAUAUACUGUCACGACAUGUAAGAGGUUAAUAUUAUGAAUUGACCGACCGUCCCUAGAGCAAGUGGCAAAGGACUUGGUGGUUGGUAUCCGAGACCCAAGUUUGAAUCCUAGUUGAUUCACAUCUCUUGCUAAGUUUAUUUUUAAGUGAAAUAAACGAAGCGGGUAGCGUGCUAUGUAUUGCCCCCAACAGUCCCACAUCGGAUGGGAUACUGAUUCCGAUCAGUUUAUAUGAGGCCUACACGCUAGUAAUAAUAACUAGACUUAAGCAUUUUGGGCCGGUGGUUUGGGCCCAACGAGUUAUUGUUGCUAGCGGGUCGGGUCGUUGCAGUGCUAUCUAUCUCUCUCUCAAAAAAAAAUAUUAUAUGAAUUGAAAGAAAUACAAUAAAUUAUUUAUUGCAUUCCGAACACAGUAAAUGAUUCAUCACAUUGUGCGUUUCAAUAGGUGGCGAACCAAUAUUAAAUGACAACAUAGAAACUAGUAAAUCAUUUAUCACAUUCUAAAUAAGCUAUAAAUGAUUCACCGUCUUUUUUAGGCUUCGCUGACAUAGUACAGACGUGGCUAACUUAGGUACAUUUUUAUAAAUAAGUUUUUAUAAAUUUACUCUUACAAAUUAAAAUUUUGUAAAAUUCAAGGCUAGUAUUUUUACACUAGUCUUAUACAUUUUUUUAUUAUUAAAAAUUUAGAAAAUGCGUUCAAAUCUUUGGAUGGAUGGAUGUAAGAUUUACAUCUGACUUUUGAUUCCACAACUAGCAUUUCUCUAUGAAACAUCACUUUAGAUUUUCUUUUUUUUUUUUUUGAGAGAGAGAGAGAGAAAGGCAGCAAGCUGUCUACUUUGUUGAUUUUUUUUUUUUUAGAAAUAAACUCAGUUGAAAAUAUAAAGCAAGUGAAUUUUAAAUUUAAAAUCUCGAAUACCAAUCAUCAAGCCUUUAGUCAACCUUACUAGUUAUGAUGGAUUUUCAAAUUUUAGAGGGAAACUUCUGUGGAUCCACCUCCAACCUCACAAAUUGCAGUUUCGAGUAGAUAAGCCCGCUGUAAAAAAAAAAAAUUUCCCCCCAAAAUACAUAUUUUGCGGUUGGACUUAUUAUAUGUGUAUUAAGUAACAAGCCAACUUUGACAAGGUAUUUGAAUUUUUUUUAAAAAAAAAAAUUAACUCUGAGAACGUUGAUUAUUUUGGUCCAAUUAAGGCCAAAAACUAUAUGGUCAUCGUUCAAUGAACUAGUCAACGAUUUUGACUCAUAACACCCCUUCAAUUUGAAGCUCCAACGCAAAAACAGAGAAAUUAAUUAUUAAUUAUAAGGCAUGAUUUUUUUGGAGUGGUAUUCACUUAUAUAAAAUAUAAUCAGGUUAAUUUGUAAAACCAUCAAACCCAAAACAAGUAGGAAUAAAUCACUACCGUCCAUUCUAAGUCUCUUGAUUUAGUUAUCGUCUUCAAUUUUCACUUAAAAAUUCUCCACAAGAUGAUCUCGAACCUUCUCUAAUCUUAAAUCGCAAUAUUAAUUAGACUGAUUUUAAGUCAAACUCAACUCAACUUGCUCAUCACAGCGCUAGAUCCCAGAACCUAAAUAGGGCAUUUAGGAACCUGACACUUUUCAAAGCGUGUCACAUUUUGGAACCUAAUUCCAGCGUUCUGAAACCUAAGUCAUUAAUCUAGCAUCCAUGCAUGCCUUCGUGUUCUAAAACCUAAGUCAAUAUUUUUGGAUACUUUUCUACUAAAUCUACAUUGGAGUUGUAAGAUGUUAGAGCCUCUUAACUUCUCGCAAUUUAUUGAGCUCAUGGGUUUGAUCAUCUAACUAGUUAAUUCCACUUGUAUAAGUUAUAAGUUACAUAAAUUACAAUAUAAAUUACAACAUGUAUAAAUUACAGUUACUUUAAACUGUAAAUUAUAGUUUACUCACAAUUUCAUCAAUUUUAUUUAAAAGAUAAAAUUUUGCGCACAAUUUACCAACUUUUCAGAUUACAAAGUAGCAACAUACAUUAUUUAUAGUCUACUCAAAAAUUUUUAAAUGACAAUAUACAUUGCAUAUAAUUUUCAUAAAUUUACUGUGUCACAUGAUAAUAUAUAUAUUACAUUAUUUUGAAAAAUAAAAAUUUAAAUAAAUAUAUAUGGAGAGAGAGAGCACUAGACUCCUAUAAUAUCUAUAGUAUUGCGGUUCCUUUUCAACUUUAAAAUAUUCAAAUCAACGAUCCACACCGUUAAAACUAAUAUAGGAUAUUUGGAGCUUUUAAGAAUAAAAUUUUAUAUUUUUUUGAUAUAGUUUACUUUAUAAUCAAAUCAUUCCAAAAUUGUCAAUUUUCAAAAGUUACUAUAGCGAGUUUGUAAUUUAAUGAUGUAGAAAAAUCUAAAUUUAUUCAAAUUUUAAUAGAAUAUAUUUUAAACUAUCUAGAUCAAGGUCAACAUNNNNNNNNNNNNNNNNNNNNUAUAUAUAUAUAUAUAUAUAUAGAAAGAGAGAGAGAGAGAGAGAGAAAGAGUCCAGCUACUAUUUUUUUAAAAGGAUAGAAUUCUUUAUUCUAUCAAACCAUUUUGGAUGAUCGGAACUCCAAAUUGAUAAACGACACCGUUCAAAUUGAAUUACACUAUCCAAAAUAUUUAAAAAUUAAAUUUUGUAAAUUUUGAAAUAUUAUCAAAUCCAUCGAAAAGUCAAAAAAUGAACGGUUAAAAAUAAAUAACCUUUUAAAAAUAAAGGUUAGACAUUUUCAAUUUAUGAUCAAAGUCACCAAACUUAUCUAAAUAGUAUAUAAAAAAAAAAUUUAUCAAAAAUUCAAACAGUUUGGGUUGCUCUACAUCAUUAAACAAGCAAAUCUCAUAUUGACCGCCAAAAACUAACACUUCUGUAUGUCUAAACAGGACAUAUUUCAAAAAACAAGUCAACUAAAAAAUCGGAUCUGGUUUAUUAAUUUUGGAUCCAUUACUUGGAACCCAAAAUCUUACUGAUCUGAUUAGUAGCAUUUUGAAAUGGAUGCUAUUUUGAGAUAUGACAGUAGAUGGGGAGUAAAUGAGGACUCGUUGGGAGCUCCCUAUUUAAGUUUCGUUGGAUUCGAUUAUAAGAAAAGCUUAUUCCAGAAAUAGGUAUAAGCAGGAGCUAAAUAAAUUUUGCAUUUGAAUGAAAAUUGAUUUGUUCACAGAAAUUAAAAAAAAAUAGCAUUUGACUAGUUAGAGUGGAAUAGUGAGAAAAAGAAUAAUUAUAGUUUUAAAAUUAUAAUAUUUUAUCUAAUUAAUUAACAUAAAAUAUGUAUUAAAAAUAAUUUAAUAAAUUAAUAAAUUUAUUAGCUAUGAAUAUUGUAAUAAAUUAAUAAAUAUUAUUAUUAGAUAAUUAUUUAUAUUAGUUAAAUUAAUUAAUUAUAAAAAAUAAGUUAUAUUUUUAAUUAGUUAGUAAAUUAUUUAAUUUGGAUAAUUAUGUAAAAAAUCUAAUUAAUUAAUAGAAAAUAUUAAUUAAAUAAUAAUUUGAGUUAUUUAAUUAACUAUUAGUAUUAAUCAAAAAUACUGCAAGAUAAACGUAAAUAUUAACUAUUAACUAAUAAAAUAAUGGGGAAACUUCAAAUACCCCUUGGUUUUGCACUUUCUCACUUUAGUACCCUGUGGUUUAAAGUGUAUCAAGUUAGUACCCUGUGGUGUCGCACUUUCUCACUUUAGUAUCUGUGGUUUCAAGUGUAUCAAGUUAGUACCUUGUGGUUUCGUACUUUCUCACUUUAGUACCCUGUGGUUUAAUACUUCGUUAAAUUAUAUACCCUGAAAUGGAUAAUUAAAAAAAAAUUGAAACCACAGGGUACUAACUUGAUACAAAAAUAAAAUCACGGGGUACUAACUUGAUACACUUGAAAACAUAUAGUACUAUAGUGAGAAAGUGCAAAAUUACAGGGUGCUAAAUGGAUACACUUUAAACUAUAGGGUACUAAAGUGAGAAAGUGCGAAACCACACUUAGCUGGAAAUGUGANCACAGGGUACUAAAGUGAGAAAGUGCGAAACCACAGGGGUAUUUAAAGUUUCCCUUUAAAAUAAAUAUAAUUUUAGUUAUUUUAAUUAAUCUAAUAUUUGACCAAUCUAAUUAUUCUAUUAACUAUGGUUAAUUAAAUUAUUAAUUAAUAGUAUAUAUUAUUAAUUAUUUUUGGGAAACUUCAAAUACCUCCCAGUGGUUUCGCUCUUUCUCACUUUAGUAUUCUGUGGUUUAAAGUGUAUCAAGUUAGUACCCGUGGUUUCGCACUUUCUCACUUUAGAACCCUGUGGUUUCAAGUGUAUCAAGUUAGUGCUAUGUGGUUUCGCACUUUCUCACUUUAGUACCCGUGGUUUAAUAUUUCGUUAAAUUAUAUACCCCGAAAUGGAUAAUAAAAAGAGAAAAUUGAAACCACAGGAUACUAACUUGAUACAAAAAUGAAACCACAAGGUACUAAAGUGAGAAAGUGCGAAACUAUAGGGUACUAACUUGAUACAUUUUAAACCACAUGAUAUUAAAGUGAGAAAGUGCAAAACCACGGAGGUAUCUGAAGUUUUCCCUUAUUUUAACUUAGUUCUUAAGUUGGAACAAGCUUGUUCUCCAAAAAUGCUGGAAUAACAGUUUUAGACUUAUAUCGACUUAUUCUCUAAAAUCAAAACUGCUAUUUUCGGGCUUCCCAAGUGAUGUUUGGGUAUAAGUAGGAGAAUAAGAGUUUAUUCCCUCGCUUGUUUUCCGACCAAACACCACCUUAAAUUCUCUUGCGUGAAUGUGUUUUUUGGGUUUUCAUUCUAGAAUUUAUGCUUGAUGGAGCUUAAAUGAGGUUAAAACUAUACUAUCCUAAUAUGCCGUCUUCAAAAUUAAAGAAAAAAUUAUAACGGAAGAGAUCAGUUUGAGAUAAAACUAAAAUGUAAAUUUAAUAUAAGUUUAAAUUUUUUAUAUAGAAAGGUGUUUAAGCCAUACGCUAAAAUAUAGAUUUAUUUUAUAAUCAAUCCUUUUAUUAUCAAUCAAAGGAUUUAUGUUAUAUAUAUAAGAUUUAUUUUAAAUUUUUUCUAUAUAGAUUUAUUUUAAAAUAUCAAAUUGAUUUAUUUUAUAGAAAGGAUUUAUUUUAUAAUCAAUCCUUUUAAUUAUCAAUCAAUUUCAUAACGUUCAAAAAUAUGACGUCGCGGUCAUUCGAAGACGUUAUUUAUUAGCCGUUGCGCUGGACCAUAUCAUUACCUGCUGCCUCUACCAACAAAUAAUAUAAUUUAAUUUAAAAUACGUUAAUAAUUAAAUAAUUCGCUCAGAAACAAAGAAUGCAUAACGCCAAUAGAAAUAUGCGUAGACCGAGUCUACUACAGGACUGAUUUUGUGAUGACGUGGCGGGAUAGCAAUGGUUGGUUUUUUUAAGAUUUAUAGACUGCGGCUACGAAAAAAAUUCCUACGCCGGCGGGGGCCCGUAAUUGGGACGCGCCACGUGGCACGGUACAGAGAAGGGUACAGAGAAGUGGGGCCCACGCCGCUAGUAGAAUAAUUCUCCCACUGAUUUAAUAAUGAUUGGAGUUCAAAAUAAUUUGUAAGAAUUAAAAGCUUGUAUAAAAAUUAAAUUUAAAAAUAACCAAAAAAAAUCCUCCGAUUUCUCCGCCGAGGAAUCGGCAACCCGGCGAUUUUUUACUUUUCCUCUUCUUUUAUCCCUUUCCUACGAAUCUCUCUCUCCUCUCUCUCCUCUCUCCUCUCCUCUCUCCUCUCUCCUCUCUCUACGAGCUCGCGACAACUACCCCGAGCUCUUGCAGCAGCCGCCUCCGCCGCCGCGCGCCACCUCGAUCCGCCUCUCGCGGCGAUCGUUUCGAGGUACUCCGAUCUCCAUCUCAUAUGCAUGUCGAUGUUCGAUCCGUUGGUUUUUCUAGGGUUUUUUUAGGGUUUCUGAUGGGAAUGCAGCUUCCUCUAGGUGAUCCGUAUCGCGAUCUCGCAAAUCCCGAGGAUCCGAGCCUGUUCCCGUCGCGUCGGUGGUCGGAUCGCCGUUCGGACAUGUCGGGCCCCCUCGAUCGCUUCGCGAGGCCUUGUGAGUUUUGGCACAAACCCUAGCUGGAUUUCGAUUCCUUUUUUGUGUUUUGAUUUGCUUCGUUUGAGAUAAUUAGGGUUUAAUCCGGUUAAUUUCUCAGAAAUUUAGGUUUGUUUGGUAGUUUUUAGGGGGUUUACUUUUCUUUUUUCGGCUGAAUUUGGUCAUGGAAUUGUGCUUUCUAAGGAAUGUUCUCUUGCGUUAUCCACUGCGAUCCACUUAUAUUUCUUUUAGGAUUAUCAUGGAACAGCUGGUUUAGUGCAGUAUAAUAAACAAAAAUGUAUUAAUCUGUAUUAAAAUUAGAUUUGAUACAGAUGUAGUUCUUUGUUUAUUCUUGCCCUAACCAUGCAUUUGAUGCGUUUUCAAAUAUCCACUUAAUGAUUUUCAAAGCGCAUGCAUGGGUAUUCUUCUAGUAUUUGAUUUUUGGGCCAGCUAAUGUUGAGGUUGCAGUUGAUUAUUAUAUAUUUAUUCCCCUUGUUGAUUCUUUUAUUUGAGCUAAUAAUCUUUGUUAACAUUACAAACACAUUGUAAGAAAAUUGAUAAUCUGGCUAGCAAUUUUAUUGAAGGGGAUUUGGUGUAGUUGAACCUGUCAAAUUUGAUUUACGAUUACAAAAUUAGGGACUUGCCAUAAUUUGAACAGUUCCUAUGUGGACCAUCCUGGAUAUUUCAAACUGUAUGUGACUGACAGAACAAAGUGUAUCCUUAUACAUUUUUGUGUUCUUUAAGAUAAUAUUUUAACAAUCUUGAUUUUCAUUUGUCUGUUUGGACAUCUAUACUGAAUAAUUGGUUAACGACUGCAAUUUAUGGGGCAUUUGGAGCCCUCCUUUUCUAUCUAAGCACUAGCUAGGUUAGCCCUCUGCAUUAAAGAUGGGGACUUAUCUAUAUUUUUUUUUUUUGAGCUGAUUACUGACAAUAAAAUUGCAUGUGCUUGAUAUGUCUGUCGUGAUUUUAGUGUAGCUAAUUUGGUGUCCCUCAAAAUGAAUCAUGUUUAGAUAUUUGAAGCUCUUCUUGUUGCACAUUUUAUACAUAAAUUCUUCGAAAGUCACAAAUCCUCCCAACAUGAGAAGAUGCCAAAUGAACCUUUUGUUGCUCCAAGCCUUAACUGUCAACUUAGGGGAGGUUUUCAGGGAUGCCUCAGGAAUUUCUUUUUUUCUUCAUUAAGCUUCGCUAAUUUCUUCGGAGUUGCAUUUCUAUGCAAGCUAUGUCGUCGGCAGUCUGUAUGAUGGUAUUGGACAAGAGAUGUGAUGUUAGUUUUCUUGUAAAUUGACCCUGAAGUACAUUGAUUUUUUAAAUUUUUUUUGUUCACUUAGUUUCGGAAAAAAAAUGUUGGCCUUAAUUCACUUUCUGUCAUCUGAACUUUGUCUAAAGAUAAAAGUGUGCUCUAUGCACACGUUCUUGUUGCCUUUCUGAGAGCUUGUUGCAUCAUUAUAAUUCAGAGAUCUGUAGUAUUAUUAUUUUGUUCAAUUGAACUGCAAUGAUUUCUUUGUUUUAGGUUUUGAGGGGUUUUCAAGUCAUGAUGAACGAAGAGAACGCAAGUCAGACGUCGAGAACUCGGAAGAUGAGAGGAGGACGAGAAUCGGCUCCCUAAAGAAGAAAGCCAUAAAUGCUUCGACUAAGUUCAGGCACUCUCUAAAGAAAAAGAACAGAAGGAAGAGUGAAAGUCGAGUCGUCUCAAUAGAAGAUGUUCGGGAUAUUGAAGAGCUACAAGCUGUUGACGCAUUUCGCCAGUCACUACUUUUGGAUGAAUUGCUUCCUGCAAAGCAUGAUGAUUAUCACAUGAUGUUGAGGUAACUCAAGAUUUCUUUUUUUCAAUACUUUGAAUGUGUAAGUUAUGCUUGAGAUAUUUCAAUUCGUACCUGCUAAAUUAUCUUUUUACAUCAAUGCCCUUUGUAAAAUUUGAAGAAAAUUAAUUUCUUAAAUGCAUACUAACAAAGUAUUUACCUCUUUAAAAACCUUUUAUAUUGCAAAACCGGCUUUUCCCCUUGAUUCAGAUGACCCCCCCACUUAAGAUAUGGUUUUUAUGUAAGUAAAUUCACUUUUGAAGGGCAUAUAUGAACAUUAAGAUUUUACAAGGGGUUUUUAAUAGAAAUAUGAUUUUGCUGGAAUACAUAUUUAGAAAUUCAACCAUGUUUUGUCUUGUUCGCUUUUUUGUGGAAACCAACACCUAUAUGCAGCUGAGCUUAAGACACAAGAGCCUUUGAUAAGUUGGUUAAGCAAGACGUGGGAAAAAAUAACUUGUUAUUUAAAUGGUCAGAGAGGAUUAUGGCUGGUUUAGCUUAUGUUUUUGUGGUAAAAACUAAUAGCAUAUGGAAUUAAUGCUUGCUAUCAUAGUGUCUAAAUUGAAAAAGUUGUGGGCAACUAAUGAUUAGUUCCUUUUCUUAUCCUUUUUGCCUUUCACUUCUGCUUGAAGUAGAGCAAGCAACCCACUCUAAAAUUUUCCUAUUACUGAUCCCCUUUUGGUCUUGGAUUUCUUCCAUAUUGAGAGUAACAUAUAGAGCCAAGUAAGCAACUUACUCACCUUAUCGUAGUAUAUGUAGACUGCUUUCACCUGAGCAGAAACAUGGCAAUGACGGUGCACCUAUACCUACUUCGGUGCUUCCAUUAAGAUUUAGACUUUUGAUGAGUGCAUCCACCACCUUUUACUCUAUUAUUUACUGCACAAGCUUCCUUCAAAUAGAAAUUUAUUGUGCCUAUAUAAUAUACUGAUGUUGCUAUAACAUGAUGUUCUAUCUCAUCUGCCUUUUCUAAUAGCUUGUUUUAUGGUUUGGCUGAAAGUAGUGCACACAUAGUACAAUGAAGUUCUUCUUCUUCUAAUAGCUUGUUUUAUGGUUUGGUGGAAAGCUGUGCAUACACAGUACAAUGCUCUCCUACGAUCUUAUAUGCAACCUUAACUCUUUGAGGUUUUAUUGGAAGAUGAAACCAAUUGAACCUGCAAAUUCCAUUGUAGGAUUUUUUAUUUUUUAUUUUAAUUUUUUUUUUUUUGGGUUAAGUAGUUGGAAAAGGGGAUAGCACAUUUGUUAGUGUUCUGAUUCUUUCAAUUUUAUAAUCUACUGCCUGGCCUCUCCUUUUACGACAUCAAUUAUGCAGCCAUAUUUUGUCCCUUAUUACCUUCACAGAUCAAGGCACCUUGUAUUCAGGUCUUGUUUGGUUUGGCUGAAGCUUCUGCAAUUGCAGCUUGUCUAUAGCAUUUUGAAGAAACAUUAAUAACUUUUGUAUUAAAUCCUUUUUAGUAAGUGGAGUUUCAUUUUGGAGCUUCUAAUUCUGCGGCCCAAAAGUUCAUUUUAGCGUUCUUUUGCAACAUUCAAAGUUCACACCUCCUAGCCUUCUGUUUGCCAAACUCCUGGCUUCUAAAAUUUGUGCUUUCUAUAAUAAAGAAGCUACUCCCAAAACUAUUCCGAACUGCUGAACUGUGAGGGAGAUAGGAGUGCAAAUCAUAUUUUAAUGCAUUGGUAAGAAAAGAAAAAGACAUGAUAACAUAAGAGUGUGAAAUUAGAGGUGAUCCCCUAAAUGAAUACCAGUAUUUGGUCGCUCAAUUUUCAAACAUUGUGAGGAUAUUCUAACUUUAUUUUGUCAAAAGAAAGUUUAUUAAAUGCUCCUAUAAUUAAACAUAUUUAUUCGAUAUUAAAGCACUACUUGUUUUCCAAAAUAACUGUAUUUUGAUGUCUUACGUCAUUUCUGCCUAUAGAUUUUUGAAAGCAAGGAAAUUCGAUAUUGAGAAAGCGAAGCACAUGUGGGCUGAUAUGCUUCAAUGGAGGAAGGAGUAUGGUACUGAUACUAUCGUAGAGGUACUUUUGUAAUUCCUUCAAUCAUCUUUCAGAAGAUCCAUGGAUGUUGAUAAAUAUUAAAUAUCAAAAGUAGAACUAUUACUUCGAAAAUAGGUAACUCUUUUCUUUUCUAUUAUUUCUAAAACUAGCUGCCAUUUGAGAAUUACUUCUCCUAAUCGAGGGAAAUGUUAUUAAACUUGGCUAUCUCCGGCAAACUCCCGUAUCAAUCAUUGUAGUUUGCUGAGUCUUGGUUCAUGUUACAUCCUAUAAAAGUGUCUGAUCAAAGUUUGCACAUUCUUUUUCAAAUUUCCAAUUUGAAAUGAAGAUAACAUUUGAAAUUUAAAUUCGUUUAUUAAUGUUUUUUUUAAUUGUAGAAUACUGAGUCAACGCAUUCCAACAAUUUUGUUUACAAGGACAAUCAAUUACAUAUCAUCUAAUUGGUUUAUUGUUAGUUUAUUAUUCUAAAAUAUCCAUAAAGAUAUUUAAGGGUCGACAAUGGUUUGCUUCUGGUUGGUUUGUCGGGGGGAAACUAAUUCACCAUGUUCAGCCACUUAAGUGAAUCUGAACCAAAACCGAACUGUAAUAGACUAAGACUGAACCAAAACAGAACUGAAAAAGUCGGUUUGAUCUAGUUCAUUUUGCCUGCUCUCUGAUCUUUGGAUAUAAUGUGCUGUCAGCUGUCAGCUUCUAUUGCGACUGCGGAAGUAGCACAAUGGUAGAUAUCGUGCUGUUUCGUUUGGAGGUUCAGGCUGGAAACUUGUUUGAUUUGCUUCUUGAACUUUUUUUAUGCAUUUUACUAGAACAUUACAUGAAACUGGACUACUUUUGGUAAUCACUAAAAUUAAACUGGAAAAUAGUCCAUGUCUUAUCUACUGUCUUUUUUGGUAUGAUUUUGUUACUGAAGUACCCAAACCGACUGGAUUUUUCGGUUUGAAAUUUUCUGUUUUCAUCCUAUGGCUCAACCAGUUAUUAGAAAUUUUGAUUCCUAUGGUUUGGUAUGGUUGAUGCCCUUAGUAAAUAUAUCUAUCUACCUCCUUUCAGUUUAUGAUAACAGUUUCAAUAAUAACAGAGUUGAUUGUUUUUUAACUUUUAUUUCUGAACAGGAUUUUGAGUACACUGAGUUGAGUGAAGUUCUACAGUACUAUCCUCAUGGUUACCAUGGGGUGGACAAAGAGGGGAGGCCUGUUUAUAUUGAAAGGCUGGGAAAAGUCGACCCGAACAAGCUUAUGCAAGUGACAACUAUGGAUAGAUACGUAAGAUACCACGUAAGGGAGUUUGAGAGAAGCUUCUCAAUCAAGUUCCCGGCAUGUUCAAUCGCUGCAAAAAAGCAUAUCGAUUCAAGUACAACUAUUCUAGAUGUUCAAGGCGUGGUAUGUUGUGCUACAUAUAUAUGCACCAUUGCAAAAAAAUAAAGCUUUGUUUGUAUGGCUUACGCAUAUAUAUAUAUAUAUAUAUAGAAUUGAGCUUCUAUGCUUUUAAAAGUACCAAGUUAUUGGUGCUUGUAGAUUUUUAGCCAUUGGAUUAAGAAAUAUGCGGUUAGGAUGAUGUGGGCCCCCUAGGGUUGAGUGGGUGGUUGGUUGAAUAGUAUAAUCUAAUGGUUGAAAAUGAUCCGAGGUAGAUCUAACGGUAAAAAACUUACAAGCACUAAGUGCUUGGUGCUUUUACAAGCACCAUAGUUGGACUCUAUAUAUAUAUAUAUAUAUAUAUAUAUAUAUAUAUAUAUAUAUAUAUAUAUAUUACAUUUGUGUAUAUAUAUAUAUAGAGUCCGGCUACUAUGCUAUUAAUAGCACGAAGCACUUGGUGCUACCAAGUUUUCCGCCGUUAGAUCUACCCUUUUGAUCAUUUUCAUCCGUUAGAUCAUACUAUUCAACCAAUCACCCACUCAACCCUAGGGGGCCCACAUCAUCCUAACCGCACAUCUCUUAAUCCAAUGGCCAAAAACUUGGUAGCACCAAUAACUUGGUGCUAUUAAUAGUAUAUUAGCCUAGUUCUAUAGGAGUCCGGUUACUAUGCUAUUAAUAGCACGAUGCACUUGAGAGAUGGAUAGCACGUUAUCCGCUUUAUUUUAUUUCNUUAUCUAGAGCAUUUGAAACAUCUAGAAAUCAAAUUUCAUAAUUUUUCGACAUCAUUUACCUUACGAUCAAAAGCUCACAAAAUUGACUAUUUUUAACGGCCGGUAUGGAAUACUUGCUAGUUUAAUAGUGCAAAAGAAUCCGAAUAGGUUGAAUUUUUGAUAGAAAAUUCUAUUCACUACCUCGAUAAAGAUCAAUAACUCCGAUCUUAAAUUGAAGGAUUCGAUCAUCCAUUUUUAAGACAUCGUUCGAUUUUGACCGUUCAUUUUAUGCUUGCUUGAUGGACUUUAUUAUGAUUUCGAAAAAUUACGAAAUUUAUUUUUUAGAAGUUUCAAAUACUCUAGAUCAUGUUUAACGGAGUGGAUCGUCAAUUCGGAAGCUCCAUCAUCGAAAACAACUUAUGAGUACGAAGGGCCCAAUACUCAUAAUAGUAUAGUAGCCCUACUCUCUCUCUCUCUCUCUCUCUCUCUAUAUAUAUAUAUAUAUAUAUAUAGAGUCCGGCUACUAUACUGUUGUGAGUACGAUCGCCUUCGUACUCAUAAAUCGUUUUCGAUUAUAAAGUUUCCGAAUCGACGAUCCAUACCGUUAAACGUCAUCUAGAGCAUUUAAAACUUCUAGAAAUCAAAUUUUAUAAUACUUUGACAUCAUUUACCUUACGAUCAAAAAAUCUCAAAAUUGAUAAUUUUUAAUGGUCGGUAUAGGAUACUUGCUAGUUUAACAAUGUAAAAGAAUCGGAAUUGGUUGAAUUUUUGAUAAAAAAAAUUUAUUCACUAUCUAGAUAAAGAUCAAUAACUCCGAUCUUAAAUUGAAGGAUCCGAUCAUCCAUUUUUAGGACGUCGUUCGAUUUUGACCAUUCAUUUUAUGCCCGCUUGAUGGACUUUAUUAUGAUUUCGAAAAAUUAUGAAAUUUAUUUUUUAGAAGUUUCAAAUACGCUACAUCAUAUUUAACGGAGUGGAUCCUCGAUUUGGAAGCUCCAUUAUGGAAAACAACUCUAUACUCAUAAGAGUAUAGUAGCUCUACUCUCUUUCUCUCUCUAUCUAUCUAUCUAUAUAUAUAAAUAUAUUAUAGGCUAGGGUUACUAUACUUUUAUGAGUAUAAAUCCCUUUGUACUCAUAGGUUUUCGACUGUUGGAUGAAGGGAUAUGCGGUUAAGAUGAUAGUGGUCGCCGAUUAGGAUGAUAGUGGAUCCCUCGGAUUGAGUAGGUGGUUGGUUGGUUGAAUAGUAUGAUCUAAUGGGUGGAAAUGGUCAAAAUGGUAGAUGUAAUAGCUGAAAAUUUAUAAGUAUAAAGGGGUCUAUGCUCUAUACUCAUAAGAGUAUAGUAGUUGGACUCUAUAUUAUGUGUCUAUAUAUAUAUAUAUAUAUAUACGAGUUGAGCUGGAAUACUAUUAAUAGUAUUUGGGCUAUUUUACUAUCGAUUUUUUAGCCGUUAGAUCUACACUUUGAUCAAUUUCAUCCUUUAGAUCAUACUAUUCAACUAAGCACCUACUCAACCCUAGGGGGACCACUACUAAACCCUAGGGGAUGACUAUUAUCCUAACACUACAAUUUUUUUAUCUAAAUGUUAAAAACUGGAUAGCAAAAAAGGUCAAAUACUAUUAAUAGUAUUCUAGCCCAAUUCUGUAUAUAUAUAUAGGGUAAAGUUCAAAUACCAGCAUUGUAGUUUCGCACUUUCUCACUUUAGUACCCUGUGGUUUAAAGUGUAUCAAGUUAGUGUCAUGUGGUUUCAUUUUUAUCUUUCGUCAGCUUUUCCGUUAAUAUUUUGUUAAAUUAUAUAUAAAAAAUUUCAGAUUCCCCACCUAGGUUUAUCAAAUAUUCACUUUAGUACUCUUUAGUUUUAACUUUGUCACUGAUUUAACAACAAAAAUUAGUGAAAUCGAUAAUAAAAAGAUAAAAAUGAAACUGCAGGGCACUAAAUUGAUACACUUUAAACCACAGGGUACUAAAGUGAGAAAGUGUGAAACCAUAGGGGUGGUAUUUGAAGUUUUCUCAUAUAUAUAUAUAUAUUACAUAUAUGAGUUAGGCUGGUAUACUAUCGGUAGCACGAAGAUCUACAUACUACCAAGUUGUUUUCAAUGAUGUAGCUCCCAAAUCAACGAUCGACUCCGUUAGACUUUAUUUGCAUUAUCGAAAGUAUUUGGAAACUAAAUUUCAAAUUUCGACAUCAUUUACCUAGUCUAAAAAUGAAUGCCUAGAAAUAAAAAUCUCAUAAAAGAUGAUGAUAAAAGACUUGAAUUUAAUAUCAGAGGUAUUGAUCUUACACUAAAUAGUGAAAAAAUUUUCUAUAAAAAUUUCAUCAGAUUUGGAUUAUUUUACACCGUUAAAUUCACAAACGCAUCACAUCGACCAUUAAAAUUGUCAAUUUUGAGACCUUUUGAUCAUUAGCCAAAUGAUGUCGAAAAUUAUAAAAUUUAGUUUUCAAAUACUUUUAAUAGUGUAGAUCAAGUCUAACGAAGCCGAUCGUCGAUUUGGAAGCUGCAUCAUUGGAAACAUCUUGAUAGUACGGAGGCCUCCGUGCUAUCGAUAGUAUACCAGUCUAGCUAUAUAUAUAGUAUAUAUAUAGAGAGAGAAGGCUGCUAUACUCUUAUGAGAAUAGAGCCCUUCGUACUCAUAAGUUGUUUUUGAUGAUAGAGCUUCUGAAUAGAUGUUCUACUCCGUUAAAUAUGAUUUAGAGUGUUUAAAACUUUUAAAAAAUAAAUUUCAUAAUUUUUCGAAAUCAUAAUAAAGUCCACCAAGCGGGCAUAAAAUGAACGGUCAAAAUCGAACGAUGUCCUAAAAAUGGAUGAUCGGAUCCUCCAAUUUAAGAUCGGAGUUAUUUAUCUUUAUCUAGAUAGUGAAUAGAAUUUUCUAUCAAAAAUUCAACUGAUUUCGCUUUUUUUACAUUGUUAAACUAGCAAGAAUCCCGUACCGGUCGUUAAUAUAUAUAUAUAUAUAUAUAUAUAUAUAUAGAGCUAGGUUGCUAUACUAUCAAUAGCACAGAGACCUUCGUGCUACUAAGUUGUUUUCAAUGAUGUGGCUUCCAAAUCGACGAUCGGCUCCGUUAGACUUGAUCUACACUAUUAAAAGUAUUUGGAAACUAAAUUUUAUAAUUUUUCGAUAUCAUUUGGCUAGUGAUCAAAAGGUCUCAAAAUUGACAAUUUUAAUGAUCGAUUUGAUGCGUUUGUGAAUUUAACAGUGUAAAACAAUCCAAAUCUGAUGAAAUUUUUAUAGAAAAUUCUUUUCACUAUUUAGAGUAAGAUCAGUACCUUUGAUCUUAAAUUCAAGUCUUUUAUCACCAUUUUUUAUGAUAAUUUUAUUUUUAGCCNUUUUUUUACCGUUAGAUCUACGCCUUUGAUCAUUUUCAACCGUUAGAUUAUACUAUUCAACCAACCACCCACUCAACCCUAGGGGGAUCACAUCAUCCUAACCGCACAUUUCUUAAUCCAAUGACCAAAAAUUUACAAGCACCGAUAACUUGAUACUUUUAAAGCAUAGGAGCUCAAUUCUGUAUAUAUAUAUAGAGAGAGCAGGACUGCUGUGCUCUUAGGAGCACGGAGGCCUCCGUGCUCCUGAGCCGUUUUCGAUGAUGGAAUUUCCGAAUCAACGAUCGUCUCCGUUAGGCUUGAUCUAGCGUAUUUGAAGUUUCUAGAAAAUAAUUUUUGCGAUUUUUCGAUAUUAUUAACCUAGCAAUCGAAAGGAUUCAAAAUCAAUAAUUUUUAACGUCUGAAAAUAAAAAUCCUAUAAAAAGUGAUGAUGUAGCACUAAAAUUUUCGAUCAAAAAUAUUGAUUUUGUUGUAGAUAGUAUAAAGAAUUUUGUAUCAAAAUUUCAUUUGAUUUGAAUACUUCUACACCGUUAAACUUGAAAACGGCAGAUAUCAACCAUUAAAAAUUAUUGAUUUUGAAUCCUUUCGAUCACUAGGUAAAUGAUAUGAAAAAAACACAAAAAUUAUUUUCUAGAAACUUCAAAUACCCUAGAUCAAGUCUAACGGAGCCGAUCGUCGAUUUGAAAAUUCCAUCAUUGAAAACGGCUCAGGAGCACGGAGGCCUCCGUGCUCCUGAGAGCACAGCAGCCCUGCUCUCUCUAUAUAUAUAUACAGAAUUGAGCUCCUAUGCUUUAAAAGUAUCAAGUUAUCGGUGCUUGUAAAUUUUUGGUCAUUGGAUUAAGAAAUGUGCGGUUAGGAUGAUGUGAUCCCCCUAGGGUUGAGUGGGUGGUUGGUUGAAUAGUAUAAUCUAACGGUUGAAAAUGAUCAAAGGCGUAGAUCUAACGGUAAAAAAAUUUAUAAGCACCAAGUGCUUGGUGCUUUUACAAGCACCAUAGCCGUACUCAUAUAUAUAUAUAUAUAUAUGUAUAUAUAUAUAUAUAUAUAUAUAUGUGUAUAUAUAUAUAUAUAUAUGUGUAUAUAUAUAUAUAUAUAUAUAUAUAUAUAUAUAUAUAUAUAUGUGUGUAUGUAUGUAUGUAUGUAUGUACUUGCAAAUAGUCGUAAAAUCUGAAAUUUCAUCUAUAAUCCUUGAAAGAUGCAUUUUUUUUCAUUCUUAAAUAUUUGGUCGGGAAGUCAUGUGUUAGUAGUAUUCUUAUGAAAGAAGGUUCAAUGGGCGUUUUUGUAUGUACAAGGGUAUUUAUAUGUACCGAAUAUUUAUUUUUUUGAAGAACCCAUGUAAAAUCAAAUUUGCAAGGCGAUAUAUUUAAAUAGAUAAUUUCCAUGCUAUACAUGUAAAUUUCUCUUUUUUCGUGUGUGCCUUCUAUAAUUUUUGUGUGCCCUGUAGGGCUUGAAGAACUUCAGUAAAACUGCACGAGAACUAAUUGUGCGGCUGCAGAAGAUUGACAAUGAUAACUACCCUGAGGUUUGCGAAUUCUUUUUUCCUAUUCUAUGGACUUAAUGGACACAAGAUUGUUAUUGAAGAUAAUUCUUACAAGAAUAACUAUUCGUGCAGACAUUAUACCGAAUGUUCAUCGUUAAUGCUGGCCCAGGAUUCAGGCUUUUAUGGAACACUGUGAAGUCUUUCCUCGAUCCAAAGACUACUUCGAAGAUACAUGUAGGCAAUUGUGAUCUAACCGUGAAGUUCAGUUUUUUCUCUUGAAUUUCUGAGAAUGUAAAUUGAAUUACUUCGCAAUUUUCUUUUUCAGGUCCUUGGGACCAAAUUCCAAAGCAAGCUGGCUGAAAUAAUUGAUUCCAGGUUGGUGCCUUGAAAAUUUUGCAUGAUAUAUGUAUAUGCCUUUUGAAACUUAAUUUCUUGCAUUACUGACCCUUGCUUUACAAGAAAAUUUUGCCUCUAUUUUACUUUUUUCUUGAUAACUUUCAGCUUUCCUCCAUGAAUUGGAUAUUUCCCAACUUAGAUGUAAGAGAUUUCAUUUUCAAUGGCCAUACAUGAGAUUCCAGAUUUUAUAGUGGUGCAUAGUAAAUAGUUGACUUUUGUGCGAAUAUAUAUAUAUAUGUAAAAGCCCUCAAUUUUGUUUCAUGAUUAACACCUUUCCUUUUGUAAAUUUAUUCAGUGAGCUUCCGGAAUUUCUUGGUGGUUCUUGUACUUGUCCCGAACAUGGAGGAUGCCUUAAGGCAGAGAAAGGCCCUUGGAAGGACCCAAACAUAUUGAAGGUUUCUGUUUGUUAACCAUCUCUUUUUUACUUAUACAUAUUAUAUUCUCAAUUUUGUCUUUUAAUUUUAAGGAAUUUUUGCUGUUAUAUGUAGAUGGUCCUUUGUGGUGAAGCACAAUAUGGUAGGCAAAUUGUAACUGUAUCCAAUGGCGAGGGAAAAAUCAUUGCUUAUGCUAAACCACAAUACACAGGAGUAAGACUUCGUACAAUCCUUUUUCUUUUUUAACUUAUUUCCCUAUUGAAAAUAAGUUGCUAAUGAAUGAAAACUGCUAUUUUGUAGAAAAUGAUUCACAUAUUUUUUUUAUUUCACAAAUGUACCCACUUUUUUCAGUUUUAGAAUUUUUGGACCAAAAUUUUUCUGUGGACCAAGAUGCCCCUAACUGAAAUACCUGAUGCAUGCAAUUAAUUUUAGUCUAUACAGAAAGAUUUUUUUUGAAAAUGUUAGCAGCAGAGGAAGUGGAUUAGACUGCUUAAUUAAGAGAAACCUAUUGGUUGAUUUUGCAAAAUCCCCUGCUAAAAUCAGUUUCUUCUUUUUGGAGUAGAAAAAGGGUAGUGAUACAUCUACUGCGGAGUCUGGUUCAGAUGCUGAAGACAUUUCCUCACCAAAAGCAUUGAGAACUUAUAUUUCUCACCCUCAAUUGACCCCAGUUCGCGAAGAGGUGAGUUGAUUCUCUGAUGACAUUUUCUAUUUUAUAUGUUGACAUUUUAUUUUUUUAAUUAGGAUACUAUCUUGGCAACUCUUUUCUUAUAAGCUAACCAUGCGUAUAAAGGUAGUGUCUGUUACAAAGUAAGUUAGAGAAUUUCAGAAGGAUAUGAAUGUUAAUUUAUGUACUUUUUAAAGUUCCAAGUGACUAUAUGGGAUUGAGUUUGUUGAGUUGGUCGAAAAGUAGCACAGGUAGAUUUCAACAAUUGUUCUGUAUUUGAUUUUGAAACUACUAGUUGUUUUACAAAAACACACUCUGGGAAAAAUAGGUGAUCUAGGUAGGAGAAGGUGAAUUUCUAGAGAAGGAAAUGAGGUUGAACGUGCUUCGUAUCUAGUAAAAGUCAAAGCACAUAGGACCAAAAGUGUUUCGGAUGUCUUGUAUUGAACAUUUGUUUCUUUAAUAAACUGUUCUUGCAAUCAGUAUUUCUUGUGAUAUAGUAGAGUUGGUUAUAAGUAUGGUCUCUAAAAUUUGGCUUUGGUUUCAAUUUUGUCCGCUGGUUCGAAUUGUAACAAUUUAAUCCAGAAGUCUUACUCUGAUAUCAGUUUCAUCAUCAGUAUCAUUUCAAUUCUGAAGUUUGAUCUUAACUUCAAGCUUAGCCCUGAAGUUUGACUUCAGUUUCAGUUUCAUCUUUAAGUUUCAAUUUUAUGAGUCUAAUGAUGGUGCUGACUAAAUUAUUACAGUUAAAACUAUGAGGGAAUAUCGAAUUUUGGGCCAAACUUUUUGACAAUUUUGUUGUUAACCCUGUAUUAUAACAUGUUAUGAAUUUUCAAAUAGGUUGUUAUUAACGUAAUCACAGCAACUACUCUCAUAUUAUCUUGUAGCAAGCAAAGAUGGUGAAGGCAGCUAGCUUUCCUACUGGUCUUUCUGAAAGUGGUGAACAUGUUCCCAUGGUUGACAAGGCUGUUGAUGCAGGAUGGAAGAAAGAAGCUUCUAACCAGAGGCUUUUCGGAUCUAAAGGUUCGUGAAUCAAUAGCUAAAAGAAUUAAAUUUGAAUAGAACAAAAAAAUCCCAGAUCUGUCAGAAAAUUUGAAGAAAGCCCCCUAAUCUUCCUCUUUUUUACAUGAAUCUGUUGUUUUGAGUUUUUAUUUUCAAAAGCCCCUGCUGAGAUCUUUCAAUGGAACAUAGGAAAAUUUUGUUACAAACAUAUCCUCGGAAACUUUAUAUUCUCACUCCUAAUUUCGAAAAACACUAGUGCUAGUGGAAUUGUUACUAUUGCUAAUGGAAUUUACUAUUGCUAACUUUCGUCCUCAACUUUAUUUAUAUGAAGUUCACAAGGACAACCAUUAUAAAGGGACAAAAGUCACUAUUCCUUUUGGUGUCUUCCUUGAUUCCAUUAAACAUGCCUGUUGGCAACUUCUAUUAUUAACAACAAACAAAAAAACAAACAAACUUAGAGUAAAGGGUUUUAUCUGACCUGACAAAACAAAAGUUAGGGCCUUUCUUGAGACUGUCCACAAAAUCAGGGAUUACAUAAAAAUUAUCUUUCCAUUUUUUUCGUUCUCUUAAAUCUUGAUCUUUAGAUCUUUUUCCUUGGGGCAGAUUUCAAGUUGUUAAGCCUGCUAAAUUUAGCAUCAACGACAUCCAAUUUUAUCUAAUUCUGCCUUUUCAACUUCUAUUUUUGUCACUAGUAAUUUCACAAUAAAAGACUAAUGAAACUGCUUAGAUCUAGUUACACAAGUUUGAAUAUGAUACAUAUGCUAGUCACGCACUCCAUUUUCUUUAUCUUCAUUCUUAAUAAAUAACUAAACAUGGCUAUGUUUUUUGUUUGCUAUUGUCAUAAAUGCAGAUACUGUUUCUCUUACAUCAAAACCUUCUGAAGGUCACUUGGCUCAAAUUAUUGCGACCCUGUUGGCAUUUAUCCUGACUAUUCUGACUUUCCUACGUGCAAUCACAAGUCGCGUGACCAAGAAACUUCCACAGAGUACUUCCCAGCCAGAGACUAACUACGCCACAUUUCAAUUUGACUCUGUUCCGAAAGAAGAGUUCCGCCCGCCUUCGCCCGCUCCAGGAUUUACCCAAGUAGACCUCCUUUCGUCACUUCUGAGUAGGCUCGGUGAACUCGAAGAGAAAGUCGAGAUUCUUCAAGCAAAGCAACAUGAGAUGCCUUCUGAGAAGGAAGAGUUGCUUAAUGCCGCUGUUCGCCGAGUAGAUGCAUUAGAAGCCGAGCUCAUUGUUACUAAGAAGGUAAAGUUGUGCAACUCAUUUCCCUUCUUGACUAAUGUUGGCUUUGUAUAUUUAGCUAGACUAUGCAGAUGCACAAUAACUACCGUAGAGCAUCAUAAAUCUAGGCCUUGUUUUUCCUCACCACUUGUAUCCAUUCUUUUUCUGAAAAGAAUGGUUAUUGUGAUUCAUUUUGGCUCUGGGCUCUUUUCUGUCUAGACUUGUCUAUCCAAUACUCUUUAUCAUCAUACUAUUUGUAAAGGAUUUUUUGGUUAGUUAUUAUAAUCUUAGAUAGUUACCAUGGUGGGCCAAAUUUUUUUUGAAUAAAUUUAUCCAUUGUUAUAACCAUUUUUUUAGACUAUAUUCCCAACUGUUAUAUGGAUGAUUAGUUAAUGACCUGUUUUUUUUUUUUCCUUAGUUCACUUUGUUGGUUUCUAUUUUCCCCAGUACAUGUUGAACAAUAUUUUUAACCAGCGUGUUGUAUUUACCAAACUCGGCAAUUUUACUUUGCGUAUUUAUGUGCUAAUUUAUUACACAGGCUUUGCAUGAAGCUCUUAUUAGGCAAGAGGAACUGCUUGCAUAUAUAGACCGCCAAGAGGAGGCUAAGCUUCGGGUUAGUUAACACUUUCUACCCCCUCUCUUUUUAUCAAUGCUGUCCUACAUUCAAAGCUUUUUUUUUUUUUUGUUUUCAUUUUUUUGAUAACACAUUAAAAAAAUGAUGAUACCGAUGAAUUUACGUACCUUGCUACAAAUUUUUUGUAGAAGAACAAAUUUUGCUUUUGAAGAGUUUGAAGAGGCUUAUGCGGCUUUGUUCUGCUGGUGGAGGUUUUACAAGCAGGAAAAGAAGAUGAAUUUGAGGUGACAUUCUACGGAUGUAUCUUCAAAAUCAUUGGGUUUCGACGUAUGAUUCUAGCGAUAAAUAAAUUGUAUUUUCAUUUCCCCUUCUAUUGCAAUGCCUUUAUAAUAGCCUUUCUUUUCUUUUUUUUUUCCCUCGCACGUUUGUUUCCCAGUAUGAGGACAUAGUAUAAGUAAAACAACGUAAUCAAAAAGAUUAUCAAGUCAGUUACUUUUUUUAACUUUGGUAUAUUAUAUAUUUAUAUAUACACACACACACGCUUGCUGAGUCCUCCUUUAUGCUUUGUUAUUUUAUUUCUUUAUUUCUUUUUAUCCUUGUAUCAGAGAUGUAAAAACAUCCAAUGGAAGUUGUAUCCCUAGUAUUGGGACUACUAAAUCUUUGGAAUGUGGGGAACAACUAUGGCCCUUAUAAGUCAUAACCUUUGUAACGAGCAAGUCGUAAAAUAUUUGAUAGUUGAUACUCGAAAUUUCAAAUUUAAAGUCUAGUUGUUCUAUAUUUCUAGCUAAAUUUAUUUAUAAAAAAAAAUGAACGAAAUGGGUACCAUACUGAUACUACCAUUCUCUCUCUCUCAAAAAAAAAAAAAAAAAAAAUGCAGGAGCUCUUGGUGGGGGGUUGUGAAAAGGAGCUAUUAAUGAUAUUUCACAUAGCUUUAUUCAAAUAACAAUUUUAUGGAACUUCCGGUCACACCAAUGAUGACCAAACAAGUCCUAAAUAUUUGGGAAGUGAUCUCAAUUGACUCACUUUUACUACGAAUAGAUCAGCUUUUUUCAAUUUGGUCCAAAUCAACAGCUGAAUAUUAAUUAUUCAAAGGAAGCAGGUAACCAAUCACAUGUGGCAUUAGAAAUAAAUGUCCAAACUAAAAUAGAAUGUAUGUACAUAACAAUCAACUUGGUAAAUCAUACAAUCGAAUAACAAAUAAAAUGUAUGUGAUCCCAAAGGAAUCAUUUGAGUAAUACAUAUGUACUUUUAACCGAAAGCUUGGAUUAGUUCACCCAAGAAUAAACACAUAUAAGGUUGCAACUCAUAUAAAAGAAAAUUAACCAACCUCUUAAAAGUUUCAUAUUUUUACUUUACAUGGUGCUUUCUCUCUCUUCUCACUGCAUUCUUUUACCAGCAAAAUGGGUUCUGCAUAUGUUAAGUUACAGUGUUAUCAGAUGAAGAGGAUAUGCAUAGAAAAGUAUUAAGCAAAAACAAAAUAAUGUAGCUCCUAAGUCAAGCAAAAGAAGAAGAGAACACAUUUAAAAUAUUAUGUAUAAUUAUUUAUUAACUAACAUGGUACUAUUUCUUUGUAUUUGAAGUGAUCCAAGGCCCUAGUUUCUAAGAAAACAUACCGUGGUUAAGAAAUGGAGUUAUAGUGUGGAAGAAAAAUGGUUUGCCACAAUUAUUGAAAGAAUAACAGCAACAUAUAUACAGUAUUAAACAUUUAUACAAUUAUAUAUCUAUCCCAAUAGAAAAGCUUAUAUUAUGAAUGAAAGUGCCAGGAUAUAACUAUAUAUAUAUGGUGUGUUCAAAAGAUUGGAUUUUCGAAAUAUUCGACAUUCGGAUACUAAAACCACUUACCAACUUGUUCUUCUUCUUUUUCUUCUUAUCAAUAUAAGCAAGAAGCUCCUCCUGCUGCGAGAAAGCAUCCUCGAGAGCCUGCGAAAUGAGAAAUAAAUAGGAACCAUUAUUUUUACAGCCAAUUUAACUAAACAAUCUGCACCAAAUUCUCUCAUGCCAUAGCCAUGAAACUGAAAUCCUUUUCUAUCAAAUAUGUGCUUACCUUUCUGGUGGCUGCGAGCUCGGAUUCUAACGCCUCGACGCGGCUCACUGCAGCCUUAAGCAUCUCCUCCUUCUCAGAAGGCAUCUCAACAGGCUUCAUGCUGAGAAUGUUCAUCUUCUCUUCCAUUUCCACAAGGCGCUUAAUCACCGCAUUGUAUUCAGCAGCUGAUACUUGAGGUUCACUCAUCAUGCAUAACUGCUUUUGGCUUCUGACUGCAGCUUCUCCGUAAGCAGGGUUCGUGCAGUCGAUGGCCGCCCCGACUAUUUUCUUGGACACGACGCGGCUGACUUUGAGGAUGGUGACUAAGCCCAUAACCACGGCCAUGACUCCUCCGAGGACGGGGCUGCCAAGUCCUCCUGAGUUUUGGCAGAUAUCUGCCAAUGAGUAGGGAUCUGAAAAGCGAAAAAAUAGCAUCUAUAUAUUAAACUUUGUGUCUUGUCUAUUAAAUCCCUCACACUAUGAGAGAACAUUCAAAUUCGCAGAUUUAAGACACGACAUGGGACAAUUUGAAAUUACUGAGAAAAACUUGAAUCGACACUACUACAUGAAUUGAACCGUCUAACACGGAAACGACACGACAUAACAGGAUUACAGUAAGUAAUUUUGUUGAGCAUCUAGGUAAAGUUAUAGGCUCUUAGACGUAGUCUCAAAUGGUGCUCAAGCUCCGCAAAUAUAGCUGAAAAUUAAUUUUUUUGAGAGGUAAUAGUUACAUGAACCAACCUUUAGAUAUCAUUGCAAGUUUUUGGUCUUGUACUUCAUUGUUCCAGCUAGCGUCGACGGCCUUGUCAACAAUCGGGAUGUGAUCAUCGCAAGAAUACGAGGAGGAAAGAGUUUCUUCGGCCUCCGGAACCUGUAGAGUUUAGAAAAGAUUAGGGACUCGGCUAAAAUUGAAGGACCAACAUGAGUGUUAGUAUAAUACAUUGACCUGUGAAAUAGCGUCUGAUAUUUCUGUUUCUCUCUGUCAGAAAGAAUGCAGCAGGGAGUUUAUUGUAGAAUAAGCAUAACUAUCAUGGAGAGUACUACAGUGUUCAUGUACCAAAAACAAUGCAAUGUUCAUUAAUUUCUUAGUGAGAUAAUUGUAGGAAAACCCUUGUAAUUAUAGCAGUUAAUUCUAAAAUUGCCCCCCCAAGAACAUAGAUUCUAUCCUCUUGACCCCCGUAUGUAUGCUGACAUAUAUCAUCAACAAAAGGAGGCGAAGCGAUGAAAAAUCAUUGUUUAGGGAGGUUGAUAAAUAGGUUUUCAAUAUUUCAAGGUGGCAAAAAUGGAAAUCGUGAUAUUUACGAAGGGCUUUCUUCAUUUUAGCAUUUCAAGAUAGUUAGUUAGCUAGUUAUCCGUUUUGUUCAUAUAGUACUAACUGAUUGAAGAAGUCUCCUACCUGGUAUGCUGGACAGCCAGGUUCCUCACGGACGGGAGACAAAUGUGGGUGUUCAAUAAAGCCCCUCGAUGGUUUCGGAGAUCGAAUAUCGUCUGUGGGAAAAAUCAUCUCUCCAGAGAAAGAUUCUUGCAUCUUUACGUAAUGACAAGAGUAUCUUACAAAUUAGUACUUAAAGAUUGUAAAUUAAAGCAUGAAGAAAUGAAAGAAACAGAGAAAAUUAAGUUAGGUUGAGUUUCACAGCCACCUUGGGAUAGAAUAUCUCAUCCUCAGAAAUUGUUUUCUCGUCGGCACUGAAAGAGUUUGAGUUUGGCUUCCCACAUCUCCCAUAGCCACUUUGAACCAUCUAUACAUCAAUGUAUUUAGGGAAAAACUCGGUUAAUUUUUCUAUCCCUCUCAACUUAUAAUGUUGAAAACAUUGAAGAAAAUCUACGUAAAAAUAAGAAAGUAAAGAAGCAAAUAAAUUAUGAUUUGAGGGUCGAAAGGUAAACACACCUUCAGGAUUUCGAGAUCCUUCCAUGGGCCUUUGUCGGACCGAAGACAACCACCCUCACAGUUGCAAGUGCCACCAAGGAACUCCGGUAAUUCACUACGAGAAAACCACAAUAAUUUACACAAUGAUUUGAUGCCUAAAUAAUUCAGAGAGUAAUUACCUGAGGUUUUAUCAAAGUAAUUUUUGAUACAUUAGUAUUCAAAAUUCUAGUAGUAAUGUGUGCUUCAUAAGCUUUAAUGCAAACCUGGCAUCAAUCACUUCAAGCAACUUGCUUUGGUACUUGUUGCUCAGAACCUGAUUGUGAAUCAAAUUAUUGUUAGUUUUCGCAAUAGUUCAUCAAAUUAGAGUUGUUAAUAAAGAGAGAGAGAGAGAGAGAGAGAGAGAGAGAGAGGCACUUACGUGAAUCUUUGCGGUGGUUUUAGGAUCAAGGAAGGUCUUUACGGUGUUCCAAAGCAGUCUAAAUCCCUGACCGGCAUUGAUGAUGAACAUGCGGCACAAGGUCUAAAGAAGAAAAAGAUUGUAAUAAAGUAAAUAUCAUCAUUUUGCAUGAUAUAGUUACUUGGCUAUACAAUUUUUGUGAUUGAAGUGAUUCAUAAUACCUCGGGAUAGUUAUCUCCGUCGAUCUUCUGAAGGCGGCUGAUUAACUCUCUCGCAGUCUUAUUGAAGUGUUUGUACCCCUAAUAAGAUAACACAUUCAUACCAUAUUCAUUUUAAAGCGGGAAAGGAACAACCUAUUUUUUGAACUUGAGCAACUUAAUUAUUAGACUCUCAGAAAACUUGUACAAAACCGAACUGCAUGCAACUUACAAGUAAGAGGUUCUUCAUACCCUCAUGUAUUACUAUGUUAGUAUACAUAUUCUUAUGAAACCAAGGAAUUCUAAUGCAAAUUAAGGAUUAGUGUCUUUGUCAUAGUUAUUCUUGCUAAAUCAUCUAUUCAGAUAUGUACCCCUACAUAAUGCGAUUAUUUUGUAUUCCUCUCCAAAGUGCAUUUUCUAACGAAAUUAGUUAUGGAUUCAAGGGAAAAGUAGGUUUUGCAUCGUAAAUAAAGAGUACUAGUUUUAAUAUGGACAUAUUCACAAGAACAAGGGCAUGUAUAUUCAAAAUAAAGUUUCUAUUAUGGACAUAUUUAUGUGCAGGUUUCGCAUGCCUUCUAUUUUCAACAGAAGGUCUUCUUCACAUACCACUCCUUGGACAUCGAGAAUUGUCGUGCUCUGGUCGAUAUGCCGCUUCGCUGCGAUCGAGCAAGCAGGGAAUUUAACUGCGAAGGUCCUCUCAAACUCCCUAACGUGAUACUUAACGUAUCGGUCCAUAUUCGUGACUUGCAUCAGCUUGUUCGCGUCGAUUUGCCCAAGCCUUUCGAUGUAAACUGGUCGGCCUUCCUUGUCUACUCCAUGGUGGCCUUGUGGGUAGUGCUCCAAAACUUGGUCGAUCUCUUUGAAAUCGAAAUCCUGGGGAGUUAAUUAGUUGUAUAAAAUGAGAAGGAAUGAGUGAGGAUAUAUAAUUUUGAUCUUUAGUUAGCAUGAAAUAAGAACUAUAUAUAUGAUUAUGAUUCCUUUUCCUAUUAAGAAAGUGAGGAAGAAAAUUACAUCUGUUAUUGUGUCGGCGCCGAAUUCCUUUCUCCAUUGGAGCAUAUCAGCCCACAUUUGCUUCGUCUUUUCAAUAUCGAACUUCCUUGCUUUAAGAAACCUGUUUCCGAAAACAAAUUGUAACUGUCAUUAGUAUUUUGUCAAACCAUAUAAUUUCAAUUUCUUUCUUCAUAGCAAAUUAGAUCGAUCGGUACAUCAUAACUGUUACAAUGAAAUCAAAAGAUAGAUACAUUUGUUCAAGACCAUUACCGUAAUCUAUCAAGAAUUAUACUAGCGAACUAUAUUUUAGUCAUCAUAACAAAUAAAGCAAAAAAGGGAUCAUAAUAUUAAUGAUACUACAACAGCUACAAUUAAUGCAUUAUCCAUCUAUUUAUCUAUCCAUAGAUAUGUACCUUAGCAUCAUGUGGUAGUCAUCAUGUCUGGAGGGAAGCAGUUCCUCGAGAAUGAGAGUCUGGCGGAAGGCAUCGACAGCCUGCAUCUCCUCAGCAUCGCGCACGUCCUCGAUGGAGACUGACAUAACCUUGCUGCUUCUCCUGCCCCUCUUCGUCAGCGAAUUUCUGAACUUUGUCGACGCAUUGAUCGCCUUCUUCUUUAAAGACCCGAUUCUUGUCUUCCUGUCGUCCUCUGAGUUCUCGAUGUCAGAUCUUCUGUCUCGCUUUUCUUGAUCUGGAAGGCCUUCCUGACCUGCCAAAGAGUUAAUAGAGUCUAACAUCAUCAGAAAAUGCGAAAUGUUAUGCGAAAUUGAUUCGCUUUUUCUUCUCCAACAUUUUUUUUUUCAAGAUUGAUGAUAUUUGUUUGAGAAGAAUUAGAUAAUUAUUGCACGAGUAGUUAGAAUAGAAUUAUGCACAUUGUACAUAGUUUUAUUGUAAGUAUGUCUAUUUAAUUUAUUUCCUAUACAUAAUUUGCGCCGACAUAAACCAUAGACCAAAACUACAAACUUAUAAUGCUCUCUUAUUUUUGAGAUGCCAUAUAACAAUGUGCGAAUAGAAAAAUCAAAUAUCAACAUAAAAAUCAAUAUAUACUCGCGUAUUAUUUGAGACAAAUAUAUGCUUCUAUAUAUAUAUAAAAAAAUCGGACGUACCAGGUAUUUGGAAUCGGUCGAGAGGCCCCGACAUAGCUUCACUCAUGGUUCGUUUGCGCGAGCUACAACACAUAGUCAAAAAAAAAAAAAAAAAAAGAGAAAAAAAAAAAAAAAAAAAAGAGAAAAGGAGAACAAAAACUCUUUAGCCCGAAGAAAAAGAAAAGAAAAAAAAAGAAUAUUCUUGUGUUGUAUAACUUAGUUAAAUAUUGAACAUAACUUUAGAACAAUCUCGAUAUAUACGUGAAGUUGAAAUUAAUAUUGCACUGUUUUAAGUUGAUCACAGAGAAAGUAGGGAAAAAAAAGAAGAAGAAGUAGAGAUUAAUUGUUUGCCUUAUACAUGCAUACAUGAAAUGUGAAAAUAUUUUAAUGCAAGCGUAUUAAUCAGAAGAUGCAUGAUUAAUGUAACUUACUUGCCCGAUCGAGUGGCCGGUGAUUAAUUAAUUAUAAUGAAUGCUAUGCGAUGUUUAAUAAAACGAAGCUCAAUUGUUUGAAAGUGUACAUACCUACGAGAGAAGCAUGAGGUUUAGAAACAGCAAGGGAGGGGGAGGAGGUGUAGCUUAAAAAUGAUAACACGGAAUGCGCGUAGAGAGAGAGAGAGAGAGAGAGAGAGAGAGAUCCAGAGAGAGAGAGAGAGAGAGAGAGAUGGGUGUUAGAGAGCGAAAGAGGGAGAGCUUUUUCGGCGUAAUGCAAGCUACUCCGUUCGUUAUUCCUAUAUUAUAUUAUACCCAAGAAAACAUGGGGAGCUUAAAAUUAGAUAUAUAGUGAGAGGGGGAGGGAGAGAGAGAGAAUCGCGUGCAACGGCUAUUUUCUUUUUUUUCUUUUUUUUGAAAAUUAAAACUUCAAAUAUCGCUGUUAUGGUUUUGCGCUUUCUCAUUUUAGUAUUCUAUAGUUUAAAAUGUAUCACUUUCGUAUUUUGUGCUUUUAUUUUUUCCUUUCCGUUGUCCCAUCCGGUAAGUUUUUCGUUAAAUCAGUGACAAAAUUAGAAUCACGAGAUAUUAAAGUGAAUAUUAGAUAAAUCAUAGAUGGGUAUCUGAAGUUCUUUGUAUAUGAUUUAACGAAAAUUAACGAAAGCGCCGAUGAAAAGAGAAAAAUAAAAACACACGGUACUAAAAUGAUAUAUUUUUAAUCAGAGGGUACUAAAGUGAGAAGCGUUGAAACCAUAGGGUGGUAUUUAAAGUUUACCUCCCUUUUUUUUUUCCUUUUUUUGGAGGGGAAUCGGUUUGAAUAAAACAAUUCACAUUUAAGUCCCCGUGCUAUGUAUCCUGAUAUUGUGGUUUGGUCCGUAAACAUUGAUAACCCAGAACUUUGAAAUGUUUCUAGAAAAUAAAAAUGAACUCUAUUGUAAAAUGGGAAUCGAAAUGGGAAUUGAUUGGAACGGUGAAUCUCUUAAUUUGUUUGGUUCACAAUAAGAUUUGGAAUCGGAAUCAACUUAUUAGUAUUAUUAUUUAGUUAAAACAAAAAAAAAUUAACCUACUAUCUAAAUUCGUAAUCAAAAUAUAGAUUUAAAUUGAGAUUCAUAAUUUAAAUUUUUAAUUUGACUUUAAGUUCAAAGUUAAAAUGUAAAAUUAUAUCUAAAUUCAAGUAUCAAACAUAUAUUGAAAUUAAAAUUAAAAUUUUAAAAAUUAAUAAAUGUUGAAUUUAUAUUCUGAAUUUAAAUAUAAAAUUAUAAUUUCAUCUAAAUUUAAAAUUAUAUGCAUAUUUGAAUUUAAAUAAUUAUUAUUGAAAAAAAAUGAGUUUUUUUCUAUCCUUUUCGGAAGUAAAAUUGACUCCCAUGCACCUCCGUGUUGGGAGUCAUUUUGGAGGGAUUCGAUUAUCCCCGGAAUGAGAAUCGAAAUGCUUUUCUCUCUAAUCAAUCACUAACAAUAGUAAUUGCUCAUUCUGAUUUCCAUUCCAAGCCUCAAAUUUUUUUAAGUAAAUGAGACCUAAGUGAAAUACAUAAUGUAUAAGCAAGAGGCAAUAUGAUCAUUUUAUUUAGAAAAAAAUAAAAAAAUAAUGUUUACAUGGAUAUGGAUCAAAGCGCAAUAAUGCAUGGAAUAGUACAACUGUACAAGGCCUACCCAUGCAUUAAUUUUAUAAACCUUUUUUUGUUUUUUUUUUUUCACUUGUGAAUGGCUUGUAACGGCAUGUCUAGAUGCGUCCGCAUCGUGUUCAGCUCUCGCUUUUUUUGGUUUAUUUAAGAAGCAAGAGUACUUACUUAAUAGAUGUGCAAAAUAACAUAUAAAUGAUUCGUAAUAACAUGUUCAAAAUAGUACAAAUUCUCAUAUGCAACAUAUAUUAUUCAAAAACAAACCAUGAAUAUCACCGGGGACCAAAAAAAAGGUUCUAUAGUUCAAUUACAAAAGAAAAUUCUCAUAGCAAACAUAGUGUCAUUACAUAACUUAUUUUAACAUUCAAAUAGAUCGCAAUGUAAGAGAAUCAAUCCGUCGGCCUAAUAUGUCUUUUCAUCCAUGCAACUCUUUUUUUCAUCUUAUAAUUUUAAUCCAACAUAGUUCAACCUCUCAAUAGAGAGAAUAAACCUCCAUCAAAUUUGAUAGUAGAGAAUGAAGUGUGACUUGCGGUGAAAGGGGUAUCGAUGCACUAUGCACAGAUGCACUCUAUGCAGAUAAUAAUUUCUAAGCAUUAAAAAAAAAUUGCAUGGAGACUCUGUGUAAUAUCUGGGAUAUUUGUAAUUUAAGAAAUUCAAAAUUUAAAUUUGAAUUCGAAUUUCAAUUCAAAAUUCUCUCUAUAUAUAUUGCUAUAUAUAUGUGAGAGAAAAAGGGGGCAUCAGAUCUUCGCGAAUCCGCGACCAAAUCACACGAAAUGAAAACGUGAUCUCGAAGGUCCGACAGUGCCGGUAGCGUUGGCGCAGUCCAUUCACAAAUCUCACGAACGGAUCGUCUGAAAUUGCAUGUUUAUUGGGGAGAGGAUUUUAUGGGAAAAACUGUGUUUCGGAAAAUCCCCCAACAUUUUAUGUGCCAAAUCGCACGAUUUCGCACGUGGGAGUGGCGUUGUGCAAGUUACUUGUGUUGUGAGGGACCAGGGUAAAAUUUCUAUGUAUUUGUAGAGUUUUUUGCAAUUUUUCCAAAAAUGCUCAAAGAGAAACCUAGGGUUUGUCUUCCCCCACUCUUAACCCUAACCCUCUCUCCCUCUCUCUCUCUCUCACUCAACCACCUCCCUCUUUCUCUUCCGAGUGCGCCAUGUGUAACCUCGGCCGCCGGCAACCUCGUCUCCGGCCAUCUCUCUUUCUCUCCCUCAUUUUUUCUCUUCCCCUCUCACUCUUUCCUUGUUCUAUGAGCCCGAGCAGCAUGGGGACCCGAGGCCACGUCCCUUGGGUUGGCCUCGACCACCCCGACUUCUGGCUGACUCCCCCGGCGUCCUCGUGCCCUGCCGACGCCGCUUGUGACGCCUCAACUUUCCAGAGGGUCAUCCAUCCUAGGACUACUCCCAUCCCAGUACGCUUAAUUUUCUUAACCUCUUGGGCCUAACCACCACCCAAGAUGCUUAAGCCGGGUUUAGAAUUUUAGCCCUACUUGGGGUCUCACAUUCUCUCCUCCUUAAGCCCUGACAUCCUCGUCAGGCUCAAACUCACAAGUACUAUGUGAUGUGAGACUCGUCUCACUAGCCUAAAGCGACCUUGUGGUGAGCUGCACUCCACCCACAACAGUCAACAAUGUGAGAGCCUCGCUCUCCCCGCUGUAUAAUCCUGGCUCAGCCGCGACUGAUCUUACACUUCCGACUAGUAAUUGGCUCUGAUACCAAUUGUGAUGCCCCAACUUCCUAGGGGGUAACCCAUUUUAGAAUUACUCCCGUCCUAACAUGCUUAACUCUCUUAACUUCUUGGGCCUAGCCAUCAUCCAAAAUGCUUAAGCCGGGUUUAGAGUUUUAGCGCUAUUAUAUUUUAUAUAUACUACUUGGGGUCUCACACCGCCGCAACUGCCAGAAUACUCCUCCGACAGCCACAGGCAGAGAGGAGCCUAGCUUCACUGAACCACGGUCGCUGCUGCCGCUGCCGACUCCCCCGGCCUUAGGAGGUCUGCCGCCAACGACCCCAACCUCCCUCAGCCGUCGCCAUCGCCGCUUGGCUCUCCCCAACCCAGCCAGGAUUUGUGCUCGCCGAGCUUCUCCAACUAGCCGCUGCCGCUCCCAGUCGCUAGCCAAGGGGAGCACUGUGCUUCUUUCCCCCUCUGCUGCUGACCCUAGCUGGAGCGCACAGCGGCAGCCGGCCGGAGAGCCCUCAGCUCGCACAGCCCCUUGAGCUAGGACUCAAAUAUAGGCCCUUCUCUAUUCGUGGCAGUUCGAUGCCCCCCGAUCUUUUUGAAGGCAAGCACGGCGAACCCCUCGACUCGCUAAACGUCAUGCCUAACUCUGUCGCUGUCAACGACGCUCCCUCGCUGAGUUUUAGCUCCUUCACUCCCGAAGUCUUUUGUACACUGAAGUUGGGGAGGCUCCACAACACUCCUCGGUUGUCAUGCGCGCUUGGGACAGCGAGCACAGUGUCCGACACGUCGAGACCUAUCGGACGUGCCUUCGCUUCAUCCCAAAAGUGCACAGUUUUCGGUAAUGGCCUUAAUUUUUGCUCUAAUGUUUAUUAUUUCGCGAUUUGUUGGCUCUUUAGGGACAUUUUUGCAAUCAGGGCUUCGUGGGCUGCCUUGGGUAGCGUGUGGUCAUUGUUUGUGACCCUCCCUCUAGACUUUUCCUCUAGAUUCUGAAGCCUCUGUGCGAUCAAAAGUAGGGUUUCCACGCGUUUGUCGGUGAAAUUGCCGGUAGAAUACAGUUUCGUGUUGCAGUGAAUCUCCAGCUUCAUGGUUCCCCGAAAAUUAUCACCUAGCCUUGUUAGCUAGCUACUGUGGUGCCCUCAUGUGUUUGGAGGUGAUCGGAGUGCGGCGGAGGCUUCCAGUGCUAAAGUGGACACUUUCAGAAGCCCGGUGGUCGAUUGGCGAUGACCGAGUUGACUUGGAGACUUAUGUUUACUGUUCGAGCACUUAAAUAGAUGUUUUUCGGGAUAGUGGGUGACUCCUGGUGUGAGUCGGUACAUUUUGGGGCAUUUUGUGGGUCCCGGGGGCAUCUCGGUGCGUUUUAGGGAUUCCCGGUGAGUUCGGGAAUCUGUUUUGGGAAAUCAAUUUCGCGAAUGGUUUGGGAUUGUGAGCCUUGUGUUUUUGAGUCUAUAGGAUUAGAUUCUGACUCGGUGGACCUGUCGUAGGUUUGGUCGACGUCCCUUGCUUUGCAGGAGCUGGAUACAGUGAUGGACACAGGUGGGUACUUCGAUCUGAAGUUGGUACUGUGGUGCAUGCUCGGUGAUAUCUCUUGUAACACCCCCAAUAGUCCCACAUCGGAUGGGAUACUGAUCCUAAUCAGUUUAUAUGAGUCCUCACACGCUAGUAAUAAUAACUGAGCUUAACCAUUUUUGGUAGGUGGUUUGGCCCAACGAGUUAUUAUUGCUAGAGGGUCGGAUCGUUACAAUUGGUAUUAGAGCCGAAUACCGGUCAGAAGUGUGAGAGAUAAGUGCUAUACGGGGCAAAGUGCUACACCAACGAGUUUUGUGGGAGCCGCUUCUUGAAACCGUAGAAGCCAUCUCUAGAAUCUCACAUCGCCUGAUAAUUCUGGUCCUAAUCUGUCUAUCUGUUGGGGUUUUGACCCAACGAGAAUGUCAAUGUCUAAAUAGGGGGAGUUUGUAAUACCUCCAAUAGUCUCACAUUGGAUGGGAUAUUAAUUUCGAUCAGUUUAUAUGAGGCCUCGAACGCUAGUAAUAAUAACUUGGCUUAAGCAUUUUAGGCCGGUGGUUUGGCCCAACAUGUUAUUAUUACUGGCGGGUCGAGUUGUUACAUCUCUCUACUCUUUCCUAACUACCUACUACUUAUACUUGUUUCAUGAUGAGUAUGACACUCUAUGACUUUGCUUUAUAUUUGCUCUAUUAGUUCAUAUUUUCGUUCUUGUCUAGAAGCAGAACAGUAGUGUUUCUUUGCUUAUGCAUGAGCGUAUAUCAUCAAAUACCUAAGUGGUCGGUACUCAUGGAUUUGCAUUGUUUUAUGAUUUCGCACAUCAUUCAACCUAAGUAGUCAGUACUCGUGGAUUUGCAUUGUUUGAUGAUCUCACACAUCAUUGUUGAUCUGAGUGGUUGGUACUAGUGGAUUUGCAUUGUUUGAUGAUCUCGCACAUCAGUGUUGACCCGAGUGGUUAGUACUCGUGGUCUUAUGUUGUUUGAUAACAUGAUCGGUCGGUACACCCUGAGAGGUCUGAUUGUCGGCUAUUCGCCGACGGAUGACUAUUGACCAUAUUUGCAUCGAUCGCCAUAGCUCGUCAGUAUUUCACGUACACCGGCGAUCUAAUCUAUUGUAGGAAGGUGUUCUUUUCUGAAAAAGUGAUCGUACAUUCGACCCGUGAGCUUUAGCGGCCUACUACUAGAGUCAUAUGCCAAUUAGAGUAGGAGUGGCAUUGCCUGAGGUCCUUAGACCAAUACGAUAGUUGAUUGGGUAUACUUGUGCUAUCAAUUGCAGUUGACUCAUAGUUAUUUCUCCAUCCCUCUUUGCAGUAGCGGUUAUUCAUACCAUUAUCACAGUUGUUUUCAGUUUAAUUUUUAUUAUUAUUGCACUAGUUUGACUGUUGACUAUAGUUGGCCGUUGUUUUAUUAUCUCACUUUACAAUAGUAGUUUUUUGGUGAUAAUCGAUAGUUGUUAUUCCUUAUCAUCAUACCUAAUUUACUUAUUACUGCUGCUAUUUAUCCUUUCCAUCUAUUGAUGUGUACAACUCGCCUUCGUCGGCUUGCGGUACCCACUAGAAGGGGAAGACUUGUUUACAUGUUCUCACCCCCCACUAUUUUUCAGGUAGCUUAAGUGGUGAGGGUCGGGAUGAUGCGUGAGGACGAUAGUAGAUAGUGAGCUCGAGAUAGAGAUCCCAACCUUACAGUAUUAGUUUUGGUUUGACGCUUAUUGUAUGCAUGUCGGUAGAUAGACUUGAUAGCUCAGUUUCUUACCACUCUCAUACUUGUUAGUAGUUAGACAGUAUUGUGGUUUAGUAGAUUUACUCGUGGAUUUGGAUAUCCGUAAAUUUUGAAUACAUGUGAGAUUUUGGACUGGGCUUUCAAACGAAGUUUUUAAAGCAUACUUAUGGUUUUCGCAAAUAAUGAAUUUUUAUCCCUCGUGGUAGCUUGUUUACUUUAAAAUAA